This 63747-nucleotide long non-coding RNA is filed under the name Fragaria vesca (wild strawberry). RNAcentral describes it as "long non-coding RNA (FVES_LNC002242)". The record is from RNAcentral. Lineage: Eukaryota; Viridiplantae; Streptophyta; Magnoliopsida; Rosales; Rosaceae.
GGAAAUGAUUUUUCAGCUAUACAAUGCUACAUGAAAGAACACUGUUACAGAAGAAGAAGCGCUGAUCGAACUGAAUAAACAAGUGAAUGAUGCAUGGAAGGAUGUAAACGAAGUAUUGCUCCAGCCUCCCACAACUGUGCCCAGGCCAAUACUGUUGCUGUGUCUCAAUCUUCUACGAGUAACUGAUGUUAUAUACAAGUACGACGAUGGUUAUACUAAUGGUGGAGUUGUGCUUAAGGAUUAUAUAACUUCUCUGCUCAGGCCCGGAUUUGAAUAGAGGCACAAGAGGCUUGGGACUCAGGGCCCAAAAAUAUUUUUUUAUAGUUGUCUAAAUUUUUUUUUUAAUAGUUUUUUGGCUGUGCAAUCUGACAUGAAUUAAAGACAACUAUCUUAAAACAAAGACAAUUACACGUGAUGAGGGGCCAAACCAUCAAUUACUACUUUAAAUUUGUACCCAUAAAAAAGUUAAAAUAUUAAAUAGAAGCAGCCAAACAGGAAAGAUAUUUGUUGUAUAGAUAGGAUUUAUAAUACAAUUAAGAUUACUAAACCAUCAAAGUUUUGGAAUCCUAUUUGCAUAAUAAGUAUUUUGCAUAAAAAUCCUAUAUAUUUUUGGAUGUUAUAUGCUAUUUUAUAUAUAUAAAAAAAAAUUAGGUGCCAAACUCUGAGAGUUCGACUCAGGCCUCAAAAUCUCAGGUCCGGGCCUGUCUCGAUCUUCUUGUCGAACCUGCUCCAAUGUAGGUUAUAGACCAACACUCGACAUGUUAUCUUCCACGUUAAUUAUGACAAAUAAGGACUCGGUCUUAAACCCUAAGGCUGAGUUAUAACAAAUAAAAGAUCUUUGGUGUUUUAAGGAUUACUGUAUUUCUGCACGGGGCUUUGGUUCAUGUCCUCUCCGUUGUUUUCUCAUUUACGGUUUAAUAAUAUGUACAAGCAUGGGAAUGAGCAUCCCAACUAAGCUGAGUUGAGUGAUCAGUCCUAAACCCUUAGGAUAGUGAAUAGUAAUACUUUUUGCCGGUCUCAAGGCUAUUAAUUUAUUUUGUGCUUGUGAACUUUAAUUACUUGCUUAAGAACUUGUUAUGCCUAUGCGUGAUAAAUGUACAGAUUGAUGACAUGCAUACUUGGCCUAGUUUAGGGCAACUCUGAGAAACUACUACCUUUCUAUCUAGGUUUGACGAUCAGAAUCGAUGAAGCAACUUUCUCAUUGUUUGUCAAACAGUUGUUUGAUGCUGCUCCCCUUUGCCAUGUGAAAUCAGUGGUCUGCCAUUAUUCAAAUCUUGCUUAACUAAGCAAAUUAGAACUUACGUCAAGGAAUCCAAAUGGUUCUACGUACAAAAGUUACACGCCGGAAACCCUUAAUUGAUGAAUACAUGUCGGUGGCGCGUGUUACAGCUGCCAUGCAAAUGCUGGAAACUACAUUCAUUUCUGCCAUAGCCGGUGACAUUGUCACGAAAGCUUCAUUGGAUUGGUUAUUCAGCGACCCUAAAAUUGUAAAGGCUUCGCAGAUCAUUGGGAGAAUCUUGGAUGACAUCCGAAGCCAUAAGGUACAAAUACACAUAUGCAUAUUAUUAGCAUAUAUACUAGCUACUAAUUAAUUAAUUUAUCAUGUAUCCUCAGCAGUGCAGUGCUACAUGAAAUAACACUCUGCAAACAGAAGAAGAAGCAGUGAUCGAACUAUUUAAACUAGUGGAUGACGCCUGGAAGGAUGUAAACGAAGUAUUGCUCCACCGGUCCAGCCCAUCGCUGAUGUCCCUAGGCCACUAUUGUUGGUGAUUUUCAAUCUUUUACGCAUAACUGAUGUGAUAUACAAGUUUGUGGAUGGUUUUACUCAUGGAGUUGUGCUUAAGGAUUAUAUUACUUCUGUGCUUGUUGAACCUGUUCCAAUAUAGGUUAUAAAUCAACAUUCGAUUUAUUCCCCUCCAUUUUAUGACAAAUAAAGACUCGGCCUUAAACCCUAAGGCCGAGUCCUAUUAUGUUUUAAAGAUUAUUGUGUUUCUGUAUCCGGUUUUGGUUUCAUGUCCUCCCUGUUGUUUUCUCAUUUAUUGUUAAUUAUCACUUUGGUCAGGCAAUUACUUCUUUGAUGAACACACACCAUGAUCCAAACACAGGCCAUUUUAUUUAUCAAACGUACUGUGCAUUGAAACCAGUGGCCAAUAUUCAAACACUGGCCAUUUUUUUCCCAUGUUAUGCUAAUCAAUAUUCGAUCACAGACUUCUGUAUUUAUAGUUGAACCAGUAACAGGAUAACAUACAAGUUUCAUAAAAGGAUUAAAUUCAGUGUGCUAUCCAAAACUUUAGGUCACUCAUCAGUUGUGUCCCUCAUUCUUUUUUUUUCUUCACGUGUAGCCUUUUGAACUCUCUAAAUCCAUCAGGCUAAGACAAAAAUUCAAAUUCGAUCCAAACAUGACGUCAGCGUCUUAUGUGGAGGAGAUAGGAUGACCCACAGUUCAACUUCUAAGGGCACAAACGUCAUUCUAACCCUCAUUUUCAUUUUGCUUUGCCUUUUUUUUCUUGUUCUCCUGCACUGUCUCUGGCAGUCCUUCCGCCACCGAAAACGUGGUCGUCAUCGAGCUCAUGCCGCGGGAGCAUAUCUCCUCUUCCCAACCCUCGUUGUCGUCAUCUACCACGUAUGUUAGCAAGAUCAUCGAGGUUCCUGCGUCGCUGCAUCAUUAAUGCCUUGGACAACACCGGUACCUUCGUCGGCGGCGUGUGUUGCUAGAACCUUCUGGAAGGCACCGAUUGGGUCUGACCUUGCCGCCGUCGGAGGAGGGUUGACUAUGUGCAGAUGGCCUUGGAAUCGAAGGGAUGGGUUUGGUGGGGGAGGAGAGUGAGGGUUUGCGGUAGAGGUCUUGGGCCAAGCGAUCGGACUUGGGUAUGACUGCAAGGAUUCCGGAUUUCUGGGGGCGGGUGAAGCUGACGCGGUGGUUGGUGAUGGUGAUUGAAGGAGACAUUGCCGCACUCCACCCACAACUAGCAGCGUACACUAGGUUGAAAUUAGCGUUGCAUAGAGAAUGAGGAUUUUGAUUUUGGGGGUGGUGCCAAUGGAUGUAUUGUGAGAGAGUGGGUGUGAGUUUGGCGAAUUUGGUGAGACUUGAGGGAGAGCUUGGAGGGCUGGCCAUGGGCGGAGGUGCAGAGAUGCACACGAGGGAAGAUAGUGAGAGGUAAUGAAGAAGAAAAAGAGAAAAAGAGAAAAAAAGAUAGAGAAAAAAAAUUAUUGUGAUAAGAGGUAGUUUAGAGUUUUUCUCUAAAUUAAUAAUUAAAAAUUAGACGUGGGUCUUUGUGUCUUCUUCAAAUCGGAUCAUGACGUCAUUCUUGAGCAAAUUUGAAUUUUUUUUUCUGUUUUGAUGGAUUUAGAGAGUUCAAGGUACACGUGAUGAAAAACAAAAGAUGAGGAACACAACUGAUGAGUGACCCAAAGUUCAGGCUACAACACUGAAUUUAAUCCUUCAUAAAACAUACAAGAGUUUCAUGAUCUUAUUGCCUUCUACUUUUAGCCUUUCUGCUGUGAAAUGUCUGAGAGUAGACUGCUAGAGUAAAAGAUUUGCUAGCACAAGCUUAUUGGUGGUCAUGGCAAACAGAAACAAAACAUGCAAAAACAAGAAAGAACUUGACUAAGAGCACAUAUGAAGUUUAACAACAUGGAACUUCUGGAUGGAGGGAUCAAGGGGAGUAUGGUACCGGGAGAAGAUAAAGAGGAGCUUUCUUACACACCGUGAUUCCAUAAACUUCACUCACGUCUAAGGCCUCAACCAAUGCAUUACCACUCGGCAACUUCCAAUCAAACCAAUAUAGAAGGUUGGCAAGAACACAUUCAAGUGAAGCAACCGCAAAGGCCUGCCCCGGGCAUCUUCUUCUACCACCUCCAAAUGGGACAAAUUGGAAGUCCUCGCCUUUGAAGUCGACUGAGUUGCCCUCAAAUCUAUCUGGGAGAAACUCAUCCGGCCUUUCCCAGAACUUAGGGUCCCUUUGGAUUGCAAAUGCAUUGACAAAUACUGUUGUUUUGGCAGGGAUAUGGUAACCUCCCAACUCUACUGCCUCGCUUGUUUCUCGAGGAACUAAAAGAGGUGCUACAGGAUGUAGUCUCAGAGUUUCUUUGAUGACACAUUUCAAGUAGUCCAUUUGAGUUAUGUCAUUCUCAUCUACCCUUCCCUUGUUCCCCACCACACUUCUUAUCUCCUUUUGGACUUUCUCCAUCGUGCUUGGAUUUCUAGCCAGCUCUGUCAUCAACCACUCCAUUGUUGUUGAUGUCGUAACAGUUCCUGCAACGAACAUAUCCUACAACCAAUGUACCAUAGUGAGACCACUUUCAGGCGCCAUGUAUAUCAUGCAGAAUGUGUUGAAUUCGAAUAAACUAGAGAAGUAGAGAGUACUAUCAGAGAGAUACCUGUAGGAUUGCUUUCAGGUUAUCUCGAGUAAGCUCAAACUCGACGGUGGCUUUGUUUUGACGUUGCAGGAGAAUGUCCAAAAAAUCCUUCUUAUCAGGCUCACCUUCUUUCUUAUGUUCUUCAAUCAACUGAUCAAAAAAUCCAUCUAAUUCAGCAAAAAUUGCUUUCAACCGUGCAAUGAAGCCUGAAAGAGUGUCAAUCCAUUUCAAAGAAGGGAAGAAAUCUCCGAAACAGAAUGACAUUAGUUCCACCAUGAACCUUCUUGAUGUCUUUCCAUACCAAUCACCAUCUUCUACGAACUUCUCUCCAAGAAUACACCUAGACAUGAUGUUGCUGGCGGUUGUAAUCAGCAUUUCACUUAGAUUAGUAGGAGACUCACAGAGACAUGUUUUGCGAAUCCUGUUGAUCAAUUCCGAAACUUCUUCUUCCCUUGCAUACUGAAAUUGUUGCACUCUUUUAAGGCUUAGAAGUUCAACAACAGAAAUUUUCCGAAGUUGCUUCCAGAAUUCCCCAUAAGGAGCAAAAGCUAUGUCUUGGCAGCCAUAAAGUAAUAUGUUUGCUGCAGUCGUUUCUGGCCUCCCGGAGAAAACCUCAUCAUGGUUCUGCACGAUUUGCUUGGUCAUCUCCGCAGAUGAAACUACUAGUGUUGGAACUUGGCCCAAGCGCAGCAGCAUUAGAGGGCCAUACGUCUUUGAAAGAGCUUGAAGAGAGCGGUGCGGGAGUUUUCCUAGCUGGUGAAGGUUUCCAAUCACUGGUAACCUUGCCGGGGAUGGCGGCAAAUUGAGCGUCUCACCUGAUUUAGAAAGUGAAAACACAACAAAAAUAGACAGCAAGAGAAGAGAAACCAGGAAAAGAUUUAAGAGUGUAGUACUCCUUUGUAGUUCUUGCACCAAUUGAUUAAACAAUGCCACUAAAGCCAUUGCCAAACUCUUAGCUAUCUCUGCUCACUUCUCUCAAAUGCACUGAUGCUUAAUUUCCUAGCAACUCUAUCAUUGCUAGAACAUAUAUACGUAUAGAGAGUUCUAACUUCCAGCAGCUAUGCUUCUUCCUUAUCAUAUAAUGCAGGAGAUAAUAUAAUAUAAUGCAGGAGCAACAUGGCAUUUUAAUAUAAUGCAGGAGCAACAUGGCAUUUUAGAAAGUAGACAAUGCAAACAAAUGCGAAUCGUUUUUCAUGUUUCUUGAACAAAGUUGACAGCAACAGGCCAACAGCUUUUGCUUAUUUUGAUCGACAUAAGUGUUAUGAUUGGCACCUAAAUUAUCUGUAAAUUCAUUAUAAUUUAGGAUUAAAUUUAGUUUGCCCCCUCGUACUUUAGGUCAAUAAUCAGUUUGGUCUCAUAUCUUUUUUUUUUUUAAUAACGUUAGUCUUUGAAGUUCUAUUUCACAUCAGUUUAGUCUAAUUUUUGAAUUGCCCUCCUUACCAUGACGUCAUGCGCUGAGUUGUCUGCGACACAAUGGCCCAGUUUCUGACUUAAAAGGGCAAAAUAGUCAUUUUAUCAUAUAUUGCCCUCAUCAAUAUAACGAACUCUCCACUCUUCGUUGGAUUGGAGUAUAUAGGGGUCGGAGUCCCAGACCCCGUCUCGAGCUGCGAUGGAGCUCAGCGCUCCCUUCUGUCGUCCGGCCGUCUCUCGGCGUCCCAUCAGUGGCCAGGGCUUCUUCUCGCCGUACUCGACAUCUCUGUUGUGUCAGAUUUCAUGGAGGAGCGCUGUUGAAAGAGAAUUGGAGGAGAGAAGGUGACUGCCUCUCCGAUCGGGUUUCCGAUUCCGGUCAAGGCGGCGAGCGUGACUGGUAUGGAUAGCUUAGUCUCGCCAUCCCCGUUCUGUAUGUGGUCUCGAUUUCUUCAGAGGAGCCUCCAUGACUGAGAAUCAAUUAAUUGAAGCUCAAACAGUUUUCUAAUGAGUUUAUGUGUUUUCCGGCCACCGUCGAAGGCAAUCGAGGUAUGAACCUUGAUCUUUUCUUCGAGUUCUACCUCUGUAUAUAAUUGGAAUUGAGUUUGGUGAUAUUUGGGAGAAUUUGGGUUUUAGGCAGAGGAGGACCGCCAUGAGUGACGCUGUUCACGACGGCGGUGGGGGUUGAAGGAAUUGGUUUUCGGCUUUGUUAGUAAACUGAAUUUGUAUGAGAUAGUCAAUUUUGAUUUUGGGAUGAGAUUGAAGAAGUUGGAGUUCUGGGAUUUUGGUAGUGUUCAAUUAUUAUUGUGCAGGGUGGUUUAAUUAAAAAUGGAGGAGUUGGGAUUUUCUGGGUUUGGUUGAGCUUGACAGUAGCAUUGGAAUAGAGUUAAGUUAUUAUGUUGCUUAAAUUCCAGAAAUUGAGGGAGUUGAAAGAUUGAUGAUGAACUGUAUGUUGUUCUUUUCAUUUUGGUAUAUGAUAAAAUGAUUAUUUUGCCCUUUUAAGUCAGAAACUAGGCCUUUGUGUCGCGGACAACUCAUCGCAUGACAUCAUGGUAAGGAGGGCAAUUCAAAAAUUGGACCAAACUGAUGUGAUAUAGAACUUCAAGGACCAACGUUAUUAAAAAAAAAGAUAUGAGACCAAACUGAUUAUUGACCUAAAGUACGGGGCAAACUGAAUUUAAUCCUAUAAUUUAUGAGUAGGAUACUUGAAGACAAAAGUAUAUAUCGACUGCAUGAAACUCAAGGUUUUCUCCACCGACUUAGCCAACUCUUUCACAUAAUGUGGCUUCUUUUCUACAGUUUUACAUGAAGAAAACAAUACAAUAUCAAAAAUUAUCAAAGGUUCCACAGUCGUCAGGAUUUUAAAAAACUUUUGAAACUAGCAUACCUAAAUAGUUUCGCAAACAAUACAAUCUCGAUAAGUCUUUGCUUAUAUAUUUUUGGGCUGAAAACUAAUGAAACGAUCGAACUGGUUUGAGUAUCCUAUGAGAUUAUGGCAUUCGAACAAAACGUAGUAGUAUACUAGUGUUAGCAAAGGUUCAACAUACUAGUAGUCGUAGUACUUACGAACGAGAUGGGAAGUACCCAAACAGACCCUUUCUUCGACUGGGCUCAUCGAUCUGCCUUGGACUAACCAAUUCCGACGAUCGGUCAUUGAUCUUUCGCUAAAACGAAAACGUUCAAUGUCGCACAUAUUCUUCUUUCAAUUCAUUACCUUCUGGGCGUCCUUAGCAGUUCCAUUGACGAAUACCUUCUGUUUUCUCCAUAAUCCCUAUAACUCUCCAAGUUUGGGCCUUUCUGUUUUGUUUUGGGCUCUAUCCCUUGAGAUAUAUGCUCUUUUGGGCUAAGCCUUUCUUGAAGUUGAAACUUGAAACUAGGGCACCAACUUCUCCGUCACUAAAUGGAGUUGUCCACUCUGCUCUGGCCUUGUGGAAUAGUCAAUUGUACAGAUCAUGUACGUUCUGCUUUUCCUCCAAGUCUCCAGGUACUGCCUAUGUUCUCUGUUCCUUAUUCCCAUAGGCCAGGAGUCUCUGUUAGCAGGCAUUGUUAAAAUGGGCAGUAGGUGCACCACUUCGAGGAGCAGUGAAUCGUGAUAAUCAAGUGAUUUUCGGAUCCCUUAGUUCGACCGAGCAAGAUCUUGUAUAAUCUUUCUGAUCAAUUUUUUUUACCUAAUUCCCUUGAAAAGAAAAGAAAAAAAAAGGGUUAUGUUAAUAAUAUAGAUGUGUAUAUCAAAUUGUGUUUUGGGGGCUUUAAACAGUAUGUUUUGGGAUUUCCACAAUCAUACUGGUUGAAAAAUGGCAUGACAUCAAUUAAAAGCCAUUAUUUUCGAAACCAAUCAUGUGGUAACUAAAAUUUAUCAAGGUAAUUUAUCAUGUGGCAUGACUCAUUUUACUAAUUUAAGGUAAUUUUAUGCAUGUUCAACGUUAACACACAUAUGAAAGUUUUUGAAAGUUUUAUAUAAAGUUGUUGCAAAGUCAUUAAAUUCCUUGUGCACUCAAAGAUAUUUUAGAACGCAAGAAUUUUCGAUUGACAGAGACAUGCGCUAGGAUAACAUGGAUUAAUUGAAACAAUGAGAUGUUUGAGUUAGGAAUUCUAUAUAGCAUGGUACGAACUACGACGUAGCCAUAAAUUAAUAGUGCAACAAUUAAUCAGACUUAAGUUCAUCAGUCUGAUAUUGACUGAGAAUAUGUAAAUUGAUUUUCUUCGAUCGAUCUCUGUUGUUUAGAGUACUUUUCCUACCGACACAGUACUAAAAUGAAAUGGAGGAGCACAUGCACAAGAAAAUGAUCGCAGUUUUUGCAAUUGAGUUGACCUAUUUGCAUGAACGUAUUCAAGGCCGGUUCUGGCCCAGUGCACCCAGUGCGAUAGCACUAGUCCCUAAACAAAAUGGGCAUAAACCAAGUCUUAAUUACACUUCAGUUCUCCUAAUCUUUGCCAAAUUCUGCUUCAAUGAAUAAUUAAGUCUGUCUUUUAUGGAUUGGGGUUUAGGAGCCAGUAACAAUAGGAGACUAACGUUUUUAUUAAAAAAUUAGUGGCUCACAUGUUUGCUAUUUGUAGUUUCUCAUUAUUCUUUCUAUUAUAAUAACUUUUUCUUUUGCAUGGAUUAGAAAUUUAGAACAACUCUGUCUUUCACUCUUAAAAAAAAAAAAANNNNNNNNNNNNNNNNNNNNAAUAUUAAGAUUAAGAGUAUAUUAAUAGGUUUAAAACCAACAAAAAAGAUAGUUUUAUUAUAAAAUUUUUAGCAUAAGGGGCACAAUUUUUUUUUCCGCGCACCGAGCCUUUAAUUAUUCAGGACCGGCCCUGAACGUACUCAUGCCUCUCUCUUUCUACAGGGAGAAGUUGAAUAGUGCGGGAUCCAUCAAAACACCAAUAGUCGCCAGUCGCCACUGUAUGUAUGAAAAUUAUGCAUAGAAAAAGGUGCAAAUUGUUGGACUAUGGUGCUUGACUUCUCCGACUGAUGACAACCUGGAUGAUCGUAUCGAGUGAAUAUUGUCAUUUGCUCAGCCCUAGCUAGCUCCACAAUGCAACUUAUUUCUUCUAAGUAUAGUAAAAUCUCAAUACAGACUGGCAAAAUUUAUUAAUUUAACGAGAUAUUAAUUAAUCUGAUAAAUUAAUAAAUUAUUAAUUUAUUGAUUAUUCAAUAACUUAUUAAUUUAUCAAAAUAUUAUUUAGUUUUUUUAAAUAUGACUUUUUUAUUUUUUCAACAAAAAUAAUAUUGUAGUGCAUUGUUCAAUGCAAUGUCUAUAUUCUCGAAUUUGUUAUUAUGUUAUAUUAUUUAAUAUGCUACUUUAUUCGAUGUACAACAUUUUCAACGUAUAAUAAUAUUAGUUCGUAAGUACAAUAUAAUUAGUUCAUUGGAUGAACAUUAGAUAAGCAAAACCAUAUAAUCACACAUCACAUAAAUAAAAAAAACAAAAAUGGUUUCUCACAUCAAAGGAGUAAACAAAAUCGACGAUAACGGAUGAAAUGCGUAAAACAUUGUGCGAGUACAUCAAAGAUAAUCCAUGCAUGUAGCACUCAAAAGCAUUUGCAAUAGUACGUUUUAGAAAAGUUCGACUUGCAAGCGAGUCAAAUGACGAUAUCGAAUACGAUCAAGCGAUCAAAAGUGACCUCAAUUUUCAAGAAAAAACAAGUCACAAUUGAGUCAUUCUUUAUUAAGUCUCAUAUUUGUAUUAUUUUAUAAAUUUAGCACUCGACUAUUGGAACCGGCAAAAAUUAUUAUUAUUUACAACUAAGUCUCCUCACAUAGUCACAUAAUGAUCGGUUUGUUAGCAAGCUGUACCGCCUGUACGUAUCAGUGUAUCACUAUAAAUAUCAAGGCACCGCGAUAGUUCAACUCACACCAGCAAGCUAGCUCUCCCUUAGUUGUUUAACUAUAUCAGAGUCUCAGCUUUUAUUUGUCGAGUGCGUGCUUCCCUAGCUAUAAUGGAUCCUCAGUUGGUUUCAGCAUCUCAAGCUCAAACCCAAAAUGGCAGUAGCACUCCAGAUGUUGAACGACGUUCAGCUAAUUUUUCUCCCAGCGUUUGGGGGGAUUAUUUUCUGAAAUAUGCAUCUGUGGUAUAUGGUUAUUUUUAAAGUAAUUAAUUUGCAGCACCAUACAUGCACACAUGAGUGUCAUAAUUAUCUUACCCUCUUCAAAAUUUGCAUCCAUGUAGGAAACUGAUGAUAUUGAAGCCGACAAAAGUAUCAAAGAACUGAAGGAAGAAGUCAAGGGGGUGCUACGACUUAGUUCUCCACAGAGACUAGACUUGAUUGAUUACAUUCAGCGUUUGGGGGUAGCACACCAUUUUGAGGAUGAGAUUCACCAACUUUUGCAGCAAAUUCACAACCAGUACUCUUCUUCUUAUGAUGAUGAUGACCUUCACACUGUUGCCUUACGUUUUCGGUUGCUUAGGCAACAAGGAUUUAAGGUUUCAUGCGGUGAGAAUCAUAUUUUUCUUUUCCAACUUUUCUAUAUAUAUUUUACAUUGGAUUAUUUCCUCUUAUUUCUUCUCUUGGUUGAUGAUCCUUAAGCAGACAUGUUCAAUAAGUUCAUCGAUGUUGAUGGGAAUCUCAAGGAAUCAAGCGUCGCUGACGUACCAGGACUGCUAAGUUUGUAUGAAGCAGCACAUCUAAGGACAUAUGGAGAUGAUAUCCUAGAUCGAGCAAUGUCCUUCACCACCACUCAUCUUGAGUCUGCAGUGGCAGCACAAGGCCGUUUAAUCCCCCCACUUUCAAAUCAAGUAGCUCGAUCAUGCCUUAUAUCAACCACUCUGGAUGGGAAACCCUAGGAUAGAAGCUAGGCAUUACCUCUCUAGCUACCAGGAACUAAACAGUGCUCCACAUUUUAGCCAAAGUCUCUUGACUUUUGCGAAGUUGGAUUUCAAUCAAUUGCAGCGUAUCCAUCAGAAAGAACUAAGUGAAAUCACAAGGUCAGAGUGAUCGAUCAGCUCCCAUUACUCCAUCAAUAUAUAUACCGAAAAUUGGUGCUAAUUUAAUUAUAUGGAUCUAUGCACGUAUACUAAUAGGUAUUAUUUUCUACUUUAGCUGGUGGAAGGAGUUAGACUUUGUAAACAAACUACCUUUUGCAAGGAACCGAAUAGUAGAGGCUUACUUUUGGUCUUUGGGAGUCUGCUUUGAACCCAAGUAUCGUCUUCCGAGGGAAACAAUAUGCAAAGCUCUUGGCUUACUUACCAUGAUUGAUGACACUUUCGAUACGUAUGGCAAAUUUGAUGAACUAGAGCUCUUUGCUGAAGCUGUCGAGAGGUACUUAUAAAUUAAAACCAAUACUAGUAGCUGCAUGCCCAUUUCUUUUGUUUUUCAGUCAUAUAUUAACCUCUUUUAUUUCAUAAGAAUAUUGCGACAUGCUUGGUUGACACGCAUCUAUAUAUGUUGUUUUUGAUUAUCAAUCAGGUGGGAUCUCUCUGCCAUGGAUUCACUGCCUGACUAUAUGAAAAUUAUCUAUGAGGCAGUGCUGAAUACCUACACUGAGAUUGAAGCCGAGCUUGCCAAGGAGGGAAACUCGUAUCGCAUUGAAUAUUUAGUAGAAGGAGUAAGUCUCAUUAUCUCUCAAGAGAGCUGACUGAUAAUUUUUUGGGGGAUUUUCAUAUACACCCAAUUUUGAAGAGUGGUUUUAAAUAAAACCCACAUAAUAUUCUUUUCUGCUAUACAUCUAAAAUGUAUCAAUUAUGAUACAUAUUAUGUCCUAUUUUUUCUAAAUUUUACACAAUUGCCACCAUUCAACUAUAACAUAUAAACAUAAUAAAUAAGCUUAAUUGAUGUUUUCUUAAAUACCUUGAUUAUGAGUUUUUCUUUUAACACUAACAUUUUUCAAUCAAUUUGCAUGAAUCAUGCUGUUUUCUUUAUUUUUAUGAAAAAAUAUAGGUGAAAUGAAUACAUUCUAUGAUCUAUACAUAAGGUAAAAUAUAAUAUAAAUAAGAUAUCUGAUUAUUAGAGUAAAAAGAAGAAAUUUUAUAGUGUUACCGUAAGCCCUAAGCCCUAAACCCUAUACCCUAAACCCUAAACCCUAAACCCUAUACCCUAUACUCUAAACCUAUACCCUAACCCUAUACCCUAAACCCUAUUAACUUAACCUUAUACCCUAAACCCAAUUUUGGGUUUCUUCUUUUUAGGUAUAUUAUCAUAUCAUGUCUUACUUAAUAGGUACAUUAGAAAUGUAAAUGUUAUUUCGAUCAGGAUGAAAAAUGAUAUAAUAAUAUACCUAAAAGGAAGAAAAAUUAAUCAAAGAACAAGAACAUGUACCUUACAAUUAGACAUUUUUCGACUAUGUAGAGAGACAUCAAAUGUGAUCUUAAGAAUGAAAAGAAUCAUUCUAUUACAAAUGACAUACUUCUAUAUAUAACAUAUAUAUACACUCAAGUUAGUAAUAACAAGGUAAGAAAUUAAAGAAUGUAAUUGAUUAUGAUAAAGUUAAAUUCAACUAAAUUUUAGCUCAAUAUUUGAGUUUCAAAUUGAUGCUAAAAUUGAGAAAGAUACCAAAUUUAGCUUUAUAUUGUCUGAAGGGCAAAUCAGAGAAACUAAAAAAUGAAGAAAACUAUUAAUUAUAGACAUAUGCUCUAUAUAGUAAGUUUACUUAUGUGGAGUGGGUGUAAAAAUAAAAAAAAAAAAAUGUAUGGGUUUAUCUUAAAAGAGGUCUAGUAUUUUGGAUUUUUAUCUAAUUUUCUCUAAUUUUUUAUGGUUCAAUUUCAACAUAUUCGUUUUUCAUCUGCCUCUAUAAACUUCAGUACGUAGAGCAAUGACAGAAUGAUUAUGUAUUUUGUUCUCUGAUGAUCAGAUGCAAUGUCAAGUUAGAGCUUACUUGAAGGAAGCCAAAUGGUACCACCUAAAGUGCACACCGAAAACCUAUGAUGAAUACAUGAGGGUGGGACUUAUUACAUCCGGCAUGUUUUUGGUAGAAGCAGCAGUCAUUGUUCCAUUAGCCGGUGAAAUUUCGACAAGAGAUUCCUUGGAAUCGUUGUUCAGAGACCCUAACAACAAAAUUGUAUAUGCUUCAAACAUACUUGGGAGACUUCUGAAUGACAUCCGAAGCCACAAGGUACAAAUACAUGCAUAUAUAGUACUGAAUAAGAGUAAUAAACCUUGACCAACUUUGUUAUGGAAGUUUGUAAUUUGUUUCUGAUCGAGUAUUAUACAUAUGUGCAGCAUGAGCAAAAGAGAGGAAAUGAUUUUUCAGCUAUACAAUGCUACAUGAAAGAACACUGUGUUACAGAAGAAGAAGCGCUGAUCGAACUGAAUAAACAAGUGAAUGAUGCAUGGAAGGAUGUAAACGAAGUAUUGCUCCAGCCUCCCACAACUGUGCCCAGGCCAAUACUGUUGCUGUGUCUCAAUCUUCUACGAGUAACUGAUGUUAUAUACAAGAACGACGAUGGUUAUACUAAUGGUGGAGUUGUGCUUAAGGAUUAUAUAACUUCUCUGCUUGUCGAACGUGCUCCAAUGUAGGUUAUCAUCAAUCAACAUUCGACAUGUUAUCUUCCACGCGUUAUGACAAAUAAAGACUCGGUCUAAACCCUAAGGCUGGGUUAUUACAAAUAAAAGAUUUUAUGCUCUUUAUGGAUUAUUGUAUUUCUGCACGGGGCUUUGGUUCAUGUCCUCCCCGUUGUUUUCUCAGUCAUAAACCUCUUCUACAGUAAUAUAUUUUGCCGGUGUCAAGGUAUUAAUUUAUUUUGUUUGUGAACUUUACUUUCUUAAGAACUUGUACGUUAUGCCAAUAAAAGAUUAAAAGUAUAGAUUGAUGACAUGCAUACUUGGCCUAGUUUAGGGCAGCUCUGAGGAACUACUACCUAUCUGUGUUUGAUGAUCAGAUUCGAUGAAGCAACUUUCUCAUUGUUUGUCGAACAGUUGUUUGAGAUUCUGCUCCCGUUUGCCAAGUGAAAUCAGUGGCCGGCCAUUAUUAUUCAAAUCUUGCUUAACUAAAAUGGCAUGCAUGACAUCAUUUGAAAGCCGUAUUUUUGAAACCAAUCAUGUACGCGGUAAACUGGUAACUAAAAUUUAUCAAGGGCUCAUGGACUAAAAUUACUACUUAUUUUUUUAUUAAUUUAUGGUAAUUGUAUGCAUGUCAUACAUUAACACGUUGUAGAAUUUUUAAACAUUUUGUAUAAAGUUGUAAAUUCAUCGUAUUACUUACACACCGAGUAUCAAAGAUAUUUUAAAACAAACAAAUUGAUGACAUAUUAAUUUUCUUUGACGAAUACACUAUAUUGGUAAAAUGAUUGACAAAUACAUUAGGAUAACGUGGAUUGCAAUACUUGAGCAAACAUGAGAUGUUUGAGUUUAGGGUUUCUCUUAUAGCAUGGUACGUAGCUAUAUAUAUAAAGGCGUACCUACAUACAGGUUACGGUAGGCCAGAUUUUGAGAAAACAUUGUUUUGUUGCAUAUUUAUAAUUAAAAAAAAUUUGAAUUAUGAAAACUAGCCCACCCCAAAUUUCUUUAUGUAAUUGAACUUAGUCCAUAUGAUUUUUUUUUAUCUGAUUACAUAUAUAUUGUUUAUUUUAUUAAAAGCAGUUGCUCGUUUAGUAUAUUUUAUGUCAACUUUCUUCUCUUUAUUUCUUUUUCUUUGUCGUUGUAUACGUCUCCAUUCUCUUCUGCCGAAGCAGCUAAGCCAAGUGUUAAGUUUUUUCUCUUUAAUCUGCAGGUAUGAUUCUUAGUUAUAUUGGUUAUCCUCUUGGAGGGUCUUGUACGUGUCAUAUGACCUAGUUCUCAAAUCUCAACUGAUUAAUGUCUUGAUCAAAUUUAGUCCCAAUAUCUCAUCAUCUCAAAUCUCAAUUGAUUAAUGCUUUGAUAGUCUCAAUAUCCCAUCAUCCCAUCGCACUGUAUUUCUAUUGAUAUUCUAAUUCUAAUCUCAAUUGCUUGCUUACUAAUUCUAAGCCACGUGCCAAGCUUUCUCUCUUUAAUCUAUAAGUAUGAUUCUUAGUUAUAUCGGUCAUCCUCUUGGAGUCUUGUAUGUGUCAUAUGACCUAGUUCUCAAAUGUCAAUUGAUUAAUGCCUUGAUCAAAUUUAGUCCCAAUAUCUUAUCAUCUUAAAUCUCAAUUGAUUAAUGCCUUAAUAGUCUCAAUAUCCCGUCAUCCCGUCACACUGUAUUUGUAUUGAUAUUCUAAUUCUAAUCUUAAUUGCUUGCUUACUUUAUUAUAGAUGACUAAUGCUAAUGAUAUGUGUGUGUGUGUGUGUGUGUGUGUGUGUGUGUGUAUAGUUGUAAUAAUACCAACGUUUGAUUCAUAGUUAUGAGAUUGUGUUUUUCCGUCCUGUUAGGUUUAAAGAUUAUACACUCGUUUACUGUAUUGUUAGAGCGGUGAUUGUGUGCUUAAUUAUUAGAUUUUACUUCUAUUCAAGAGCGUAUGGUUCAAUUUGAGUAUGUAUGUUCUUUUAUCUUUAGCUUUUGUUAUUUAAUUUCUAUAAAAUGUUAUAAUAUUGAUUGCUUAAUGAUCAGUUAACUACGUGAUUAUUUGAUAUAUUUUUAAUCUAAAAUGUGAUAUGUAAAAUAUAGAAGAAAAAAAAUUAAAAAACUUUAUUUAAAAAAAAAUUUCAGCCCACCCUAACCUAAAAUCCUAGGUCCGUCAUUGCAUAUACAGAGUGCAACAAUGAGACUAGUUCAUUAGUCUGAUAUUGACUGAGAAUACUGAUCUUCUUCUCUCUCUUUAUACAUUUCCUAUCGUGACACCAAAAUGAAAUGGAUGAGCUCAUGCGCAAGAAAAUGAUCGGAGUAGUUAUCGGAAUCAAAACCAAUUUGCAUGAAUUCAUGCCUCGCUCUUACAUGGGUGAAGUUGAAUUAAUAAUCCGGGAUUAUCAAACACCAGACGCCACUACGUACUCGAGAAGGUAUGAAAAUUAUACAUGGAAAUUAAGUUUGAAAUAACAGAUGAAGCAAAACGGAAAACGGUGGAAAUGGUUGGACUUCGUUGCUUUCAUACCUUGACUUCUCGACUGAUGAUGACACCAUGGAUGAUUAUUGUAUCGAGUCGAUAUUGUCAUUUGCUCAUCAGGCGCUCUCAGCCGUAGCUAGCUCCACAAUGCAACUUAUUUCUUGUACGUAUCUACGUACGUACGGCUUGUCCUCACACAACAGUCGCUUUGUUAUCAGUGUAUCACUAUAAAUAUCGAGGCACCGUGGUAGUUUAACUCACACCAGCAAGCUAGCUCUCCCGGCCUUAGUUGUUUAACUACAUCAGAGUCUCAGCUUUCAUUUUUCGAGUGCUUCGAUUCCCCUAGCUAUAAUGGAUCCUCUGUUGGUUUCAGCAUCUCAAGCUCAAACCCAAAAUGGCAGUAGCACUGCAGAUGUUGAACGACGUUCAGCAAAUUUUUCUCCCAGCGUUUGGGGGGAAUAUUUUCUGGCAUAUGCAUCUGUGGUAGGUUAUUUUUGAAGUAAUUAGCAGCAUCAUAUGAAUGUCAUAUUUAUCUUAUUACCCCCUUCAAAAUUUUCAUCUACUGUAGGAAACUGCUGAUAUUCAAGCCGACAAACGUGUCAAAGAACUGAAGGAAGAAGUGAAGAGGGUGCUACUUAGUUCUCCGCCUUCACAGAGAUUAGACUUGAUUGAUUACAUUCAGCGCUUGGGGUUGUCACACCAUUUUGAGGAUGAGAUUCACCAAUUUUUGCAGCAAAUUCACAACCAAUACUCAUCUGCUUCUUCAGAUGAUGAUGACCUUCACACUGUUGCUCUACGUUUUCGGCUGCUUAGGCAAGAAGGAUUUAAUAAGGUUUCAUGCGGUGAGAAUCAUUCUUUUUUUCCAACUUUUCUAUAUAUUUAACAAUGGAUUAUUUCCUCUUAUUUCUUCUCUUGGUUGAUGAUCAUUAAGCAGACAUGUUCAACAAGUUCAUCGAUGUUGAUGGGAAUCUUAAGGAAUCAUGCGUCGCUGACGUACCAGGACUGCUAAGUUUGUAUGAAACAGCACAUCUAAGGAAACAUGGAGAAGAUUUCCUAGAUCGAGCAGUGUCCUUCACUACCACUCAUCUUGAGUCUGCAGUAGCAGCACCCGGCCGUUUAAGCCCCCCACUUUCAAAUCAAGUAGCUCAUGCCUUGUAUCAACCACUCUGGAAAGGAAACCCGAGGAUAGAAGCUAGGCAUUACCUCUCUAGCUACCAGGAACUCAACAGUGGUCCACAUUUUAGCCAAAGUCUCUUGACUUUUGCAAAGUUGGAUUUUAAUUUUUUCCAGCGUAUCCAUCAGAAAGAACUAAGUGAAAUCACAAGGUCAAUGAUCAGCUCCCCUUACUCGAUCAAUAUUUACAUACCGAAAAUUAGUGCUAACACAAUUAUACGGAUAUCUAUGCAUGUACUUAUAAAUUGGUAGGUAUUUUCAGGUGGUGGAAGGAGUUGGACUUUGUAAACAAACUACCGUUUGCAAGGGAUCGAAUAGUAGAGUGUUACUUUUGGUCUUUGGGAGUCUGCUUUGAGCCCAAGUAUCGUCUUCCGAGGGAAACAUUAUGCAAAAUUCUUGGCUUACUUACCAUGAUUGAUGACACUUUCGAUACGUAUGGCAAACUUGAUGAACUAGAGCUCUUUACUGAAGCUAUUCAGAGGUAUAAAACCAAUCCUAGUAGCUGCAUGACCAUUUCUUUUGUUUUUCAGUUAUAUAUUAACCUCUUUUAUUUCAUAAGAAUAUUGCGACAUGCUUGGUUGACACGCAUCUAUAUAUGUUGUUUUUGAUUAUCAAUCAGGUGGGAUCUCUCUGCCAUGGAUUCACUGCCUGACUAUAUGAAAAUUAUCUAUGAGGCAGUGCUGAAUGCCUACACUGAGAUUGAAGCCGAGCUUGCCAAGGAGGGAAACUCGUAUCGCAUUGCCUAUUUAGUAGAAGGAGUAAGUCUCAUUAUCUCUCAAGAGAGCUGACUGAUAAUUUUUUAUGGUUCAAUUUCAACACAUUCGGUUUUCAUCUGCCUCUAUAUACUUCAGUACGUAGAGCAAUGACAGAAUGAUUAUGUAUUUUUUUUCUCUGAUGAUCAGACGCAAUGUCUAGUUAGAGCUUACAUGAAGGAAGCCAAAUGGUACCACCUAAAGUGCACACCGAAAACCUAUGAUGAAUACAUGAGGGUGGGACUUAUUACAUCCGGCAUGUUUUUGGUAGAAGCAGCAGUCAUUGUUCCAUUAGCCGGUGAAAUUUCGACAAGAGAUUCCUUGGAAUCGUUGUUCAGAGACCCUAACAACAAAAUUGUAUAUGCUUCAAACAUACUUGGGAGACUUCUGAAUGACAUCCGAAGCCACAAGGUACAAAUACAGCAUAUAUAGUACUGAAUAGGAGUAAUAAACCUUGACCAACUUUGUUAUGGAAGUUUGUAAUUUGUUUCUGAGUAUUACACAUAUGUGCAGCAUGCGCAAAAGAGAGGAAAUGAUUUUUCAGCUAUACAAUGCUACAUGAAAGAACACUAUGUUACAGAAGAAGAAGCGCUGAUCGAACUGAAUAAACAAGUGAAUGACGCAUGGAAGGAUGUAAACGAAGUAUUGCUCCAGCCUCCCACGACUGUGCCCAGGCCAAUACUGUUGCUGUGUCUCAAUCUUCUACGAGUAACUGAUGUUAUAUACAAGAACGACGAUGGUUAUACUAAUGGUGGAGUUGUGCUUAAGGAUUAUAUAACUUCUCUGCUUGUCGAACCUGCUCCAAUGUAGGUUAUCAUCAAUCAACAUUCGACAUGUUAUCUUCCACGCGUUAUGACAAAUAAAGACUCGGUCUAAACCCUAAGGCUGGGUUAUUACAAAUAAAAGAUUUUAUGUUCUUUAUGGAUUAUUGUAUUUCUGCACGGGGCUUUGGUUCAUGUCCUCCCCGUUGUUUUCUCAGUCAUAAACCUCUUCUACGUACAGUAAUAUAUUUUGCCGGUGUCAAGGCUAUUAAUUUAUUUUGUUUGUGAACUUUACUUUCUUAAGAACUUGUUAUGCCAAUACAAUAUUAAAAGUAUAGAUUGAUGACAUGCAUACUUGGCCUAGUUUAGGGCAGCUCUGAGGAACUACUACCUAUCUGUGCUUGAUGAUCAGAUUCGAUGAAGCAACUUUCUCAUUGUUUGUCGAACAGUUGUUUGAGAUUCUGCUCCCCUUUGCCAAGUGAAAUCAGUGGCCGGCCAUUAUUAUUCAAAUCAUGCUUAACUAAAAUGGCAUGCAUGACAUCAUUUGAAAGCCGUAUUUUUGAAACCAAUCAUGUACGCGGUAAACUGGUAACUAAAAUUUAUCAAGGGCUCAUGGACUAAAAUUAUGACUACUUAUUUUUUUUUACCAAUUUAAGAUAAUUGUAUGCAUGUCAUACAUUAAUACGCCGUAAAAUUUUUAAAAUUUUUGUAUAAAGUUAUAAAUUCAUCGUAUUACUCACACCGAGUAUCAAAGAUAUUUUAAAACAAACAAAUUGAUGACAUAUUAAUUUUCUUUGACGAAUACACUGUAUUGGUAAAAUGAUUGACAAAUACAUUAGGAUAACUUGGAUUGCAAUACUUGAGCAAACAUGAGAUGUUUGAGUUUAAGGUUUCUCUUAUAGCAUGGUACUAGAUGAUGCCCGCGCGCUGCUGUGGUUUGCAAUGACGGAUAUUAACUACCGUAAUUGCUUUUGUUUGAAUCAAUGUUGCUGUUGUUGGACAAAAUUAUAAACACAAUAAUAUAAAAUGGAUAUUGCACAAUGACAUUGGUCACAAAAAGGAAAUGUAUAGCAUUUUUUGACUUGCAAUUCAUGAUGGUAAACAAAAUGGAAAUGUAUGACAAAAUAGAAAUACACAUGGUGAUGCUAUCGAUAUACAUAACAUAUAAAACAAUAGUACAUAGUAUUGUGUUAUAGACACCAAAAUAACUGGGCACAAAAAAUAGCUACAUCUAUUGUCUCUUUGGAUAGCAAAAUGCUUCCCACUGCCAGGCAACACCGGAUUGUAUCUGCAGUUAGAACCAACUAUGUCUAACUUGUUAGCAUCAAAAGGAUCACAUAUACAAAAACACAUGUUUCUUACUCCUGCUUUGAUUUGACCUUACAUUCGCUUCCUUGAGCUCUGGUAUAUGAACAUUUAAAUUCAGGCAAUGGAUACAAAGCUGUGAAAAGAUAAACAAAACAAAUGCAAAGCAUACCAUUGCAACAUAAACACUGAAAGAAAACAAAUGCAUGGAUAUGGAUAUAAGGGAUGCUUACUUUGAUAUCCCAUUGCUUUCUUCUCCUCUACAAAAAAUGCAUGGAUAUGGAUAUAAGGGAUGCGUACUUUGAUGUCCCAUUGCUUCCUUCUCCUCUACAAAGUGAAGAGGUAUGUGUUAGUUACUGGAUAAAUUUAGUUGUACAUGAAAAUGCCAACAAUCGUUAACAAUACAUGAAUAUCAGAAUGUAAUACAGACCAUCCCAUUUUAAUCAUACUACUGUAAUGUAAAUAGAUACUGAGAUAGAAACGAAAUGCAUAUAUAUGGAUAUAAGCAAUGCUUACUUUGACGUCCCUUUGCUUCCUUCUCCUCUGCAAAGUGAAAUGUUUUCAGUAGGGGAUCAAUUUGAAAGCUCAAGCAAAGAGAUUGAGAGAAUUCAGAGAAUCAAAGAAAAUAUCUUGCAUCUAUUAUCUUGUGUUACACAGAGGAAGAGAGAGACUUCAGCUAUUAUACCUAUAGCUAUUAGAGAGAUACAAUACAACUGUAAAAGGCUUAUAGAUAAACAGUAAAACUAGACUACGUUUUACUGUUUUACAACAAUUACUCUUAACACCCUCCCUCAAGCUGAUGGGAGAGAAGCUACCAUCAGAUUGCAUUAGCAAAGAGCCAAAGAACUGAGCAAUACAGUGACCAAAAAUAUUGGUUUCAACCCGGAUUAAUGAGCGGCAGUGACUGGCAUAGCUGCAUAGGAUAAGAGGCACGCCUACAAUUUAAUGUAGUUUGAUCCGAAGUAGAUAACAGUCGCCAAUUGCCUUGCACCGGUAAAGCUUCAAUUUCCUUAAGCACUUCUUGCUGCCAUUUAGAGAGAACUGGACUGGCAGUGCCAAUAUGCAAGGGAUGAGUUUGACUAGCAUCAAGGAUAUGAGUUGGUUGCUGAGAAGAAUAUGUAUGCCUGUAUAAGCAUUCAGCUGCACUAUGACCUGACUUCAUGCAAAUUUGACACUGCAUAUAAGAUCUAGAGGCAACAACUUGUCAAGGAGCAGAUCUUUGAGAACAUACUUGAGUAGUAUGACACUUGCUAUUGCAUAUUUGACAGGCUUCGGGAGUGUUACUAAUUCCAUUUGAGAAAUCAUUGACUUUGAGACUUCCAACCUUCUUAUUCCUUAACCCACUUGAAGUAUCAUAUAAGCUAGAAGCGCCAACAUGAGUGCUGUUGUGAAUUCUGUAGUUGUUCCACCCACUAUUCUGAUAACAAACUCUAGUUCUUCCUCUUCGGUCAAAACCCUUGCAAGCAUUAACAAUGGAGCUGAAAUACCAAGUUCGCUGACCCACUUGAGUAGAAGGAUGUGCACCAGAUUGUAAGAUAUUUCCAUUGUUAGUAAAGCUCAUUUUAUGUGAAGGGUCACAAUGUUGUUGUGGAGAAUCACUGCAUUGUUGCAAAGGCUCACCAUUUUGCAGAAUAUGACUAGUGUUUGGCUGAGAAAUUGUGCCAUUGCACAGAGCUUCACUUGUUGGAACAACACUUGAACCAAGAGGAUAAUCAAUAGAAUCAAUAUUCCCAACAAUCGAACCAGCAGAUAAAUUGGGAGUAGAUGUCACCAUAUGACCAUUAUUUGACAUAAGAGGUACCCCAAAGUUUCCAUUUUGCAUCAUGGCAUUAACAACAUAUGUAGGAUUCAUAGUAAAACCAGAUGCAACAUGGUUCAUAUUGUUAGGCAGAACAGUAUGCUGAGGUACAUAAGUAACUUGAGUGGUAAGAUGUGUCCCAAGACAUUGGUUCUCAAGAGAUGUCGUCACAGGAGUAGAAACAAGAGAAACAAGAGAACCCGAAUCCGUACCAGAAGAUUGGUUCUCAACAGAUAUAGGCACGGGAGUAGAGUUGACAAAUUGAGUAACAAGUUCUGAAGAGCUGCUGGUAAGAGCAUUGUUGUUUGAAAUAACAGCAGCAAACUCCAUUUCGGAACUAGGUAAAUAGGUAUUAUUCAAAGAAUAAGACUGAACAUUACCUCUGGAAGUAUCACCAAUUGCAGCCAUAGCUGUCUCCAAAGACAAUGAAAUAGACUUCAAAGUUUGUUCAAUCUCAUCUUCACCAAUCAACAAAAGAGACCUUUAAGUCUUUCAUUGAAACAGAGGAGCUCAGUGCUUUGAUUCUUAUAACAGUUUUUAUGGUAGCAAACUCUGAAGGCAAACCAUUAAGAACUGAGACUACAAUAUCUUCAUCAUCCAUAUAAACUCCCAUUGUAGCAAGUUGAUCACAUAUUGACUUCACUCUAAACAAGUACCUGUCAAUAGAGUCUGAGCCUUUUUUGAUGUUGUUUAAGGAGUUUUUGAGAUUCAUUAUGUUAUACCUUGAAUCAUCAACAUAUUUCUCCUUAAGCCGACACCAAAUUUUCUCAGAAAACUUGCUUCCAAUAAUGAAGGAGAGAGCAUCAUUGGACAAAGUAGCAGCAAGUAUAGACAUAAUGGCAGAGUCAUUUUGCAUCCAAUUCAUGUACUCUGUCAUAUCAGUGGCAACCUCAUUUUCUUCCAUAUUCAGGUACUCUGGAGGACAAGGGAAUGAUCUGUCGAUAUAUCUCAUCAAGCCACAACCCUUUAACAAUGUUUCUACUAAAAACUUCCAUGUGACAUAGUUAGAUUUGUCUAAGCGGAUAGGAAUGAGAUUGCAAAAAUUGGAAAGCAGACACUUGCUUAACUCAACACUGUUAUCCAUGAUGGCAGGCAACACAGAAUAAUGUCUUGACUGAGUGAAAUGCCAACACAACUCAACUAUCACCACUAUAGAACUCCAAUGAGUAACUUAUGAACAACACUGUGCUCCAGCAAUGUCUAGCUUUAUGCAAUUUCUUUCGAAAUACUACCAAUGCAUUUCAGUUCACUGGUUCCAUAAGAUCAAGUAGAUGAUAAGAAGCCAAUGACAAGGACUGCACGGUGACAAAGCUCUUCCAAAAAUAUGUAGUAUGCCUAACUUGUAACAAAUGUCUAAGCAACUUGAAGCAGCAAAUUCGAAUCUUCACUAUAGCCAAAACUUCUUGCAAACAGAGUGCUUCAAUAAUCAACAAAUCCUAUUGCAUGAAUCUAAGAAAAAGUUCAAUUGUAGCUUGUUUCACCAAUCUUUCAUCGUUCAACAACUAGAAGAAACACCAAAACAUAACAAAGAGAGAAUUUGGAGUAAAAUCCCCAAAUUCUAAGGUUUCAAUUUCUGGCAUAUAUCAACGAACUUCACACUGUUCCAAUUCAGCAACUAAAACUUGUAGAAAUCUGUAAUCGAACAGAUAUUAUGCAAAUCAAAUACUUCAAUCAAACUAUGAAUCUAGCUUUCUUCUUCUUCAAAAUUCUAGAAAACUUAUCUGGGAGAUGAAUCUUAUCUGGAGAUGAAUCGAACACCGAAGCAAGCAAGAACAACAAGUAUGAAUAUCGAUGAAGAGUGAAACUCUAGGUCGCCGGCGAAAAUCUUCGAUCCCGAUCGAACCUGGCUCUUGAUACCAUGAAAGCUCUUGAAUACCAGAAUGUAAUGAAAGAUCAUUCCAUUUAAAAGAGGAGCAUAGUUACUGUUCUCUGAUAAGUAUUCUGAGUAACACAUGCAUUGAACACACAACACAUAUAUGUAUAUAUAAUGAUAUAUAUAUAUAUGUAUAUAUUCACACAUGCAAUAUGGUAAUACCUUUUCUGCUUCUUUAUUUCAAUGUUCAAAAGCUCCUUAAGUGUUAAUUCUUUUCGGGGCUGCAUAGUUCUUUUUGCUGGAGUACUUGGCUCUGCUACUGUGUCAUGGACAGUGAAUAAAAUAGAUAUGCAUUGAUAAAGGUGAAACACCUUUACAAUGAAUUAAGGUAUGAUAUGUGAAACAUGGGAAAAAAAAAAAGUUUAAGCAGAAUGACAAAUACAAAGAGAUUUGGCAAAUGAAUUACAUGCACUUAUACAUUUCAUAAAUAAGAGUCAAAAAUACAGUGAACAUGUAAUUUUAAAAAUUUCAAAGGUGGGAAAUAGUGUUUAUUCAAGUAGCUGACAUUGGAUGCCCAAUCUGCUCUCCAUGGUGUCCACAACAAAGUUUUCUAGAAUUAUGAUCGAACCUAAAGGUCUUGCUACAGGUGGGGCAAGCUAGAUAAUACCAAUCCUCUCGAAUGAUAAAUUUUGUAAUCUUGCCUUACAAGUGAAGAUAAGACUCCUGUAGCAAGGUCAUCAGCAUAAAUUCAAAAACAUUAACUUGUAAUUCAAAACAUUUAAACCCAAACAUUAACAGCAGUUAGACAUUAAAUAAAAGUAUUAACAGGAGAUCGUCGCAACUGGUAUCAAAAUUGCUUUGGAUAAAGGAUCAAAUAAGGAAGGCCUGCAACUACCAUAUCAAUAAUAAUGAAAUAUAAAACAUGAGUGCCAGCUUGAGAAAGGAAACAUAUUGCAAUGUAUUGAUAAGUGUUAUGUUUCAUGAAAAAGUUAAUGAGCUACUUAGUUGCAUCCACACAAAAAAAAAGAUGGUUUUUUCCUUAUAUUUUGCAUAUGCUUCUUUUAUGAAAUCUGAUAACAUAAUUUUCAAGUGUUUUCAUUUUUGUUCAACCUAUUGAUAAUCAGUGUGUAAAUACUACCAUCAAGAAUGGACAACAAAUGUUUUAAAACUGAUUGAGAGAUUAUGUAGAUGAACUUGUAUAAGCCAAGCACCGGUCAACCACAGUUCAAAAAUAGGAAACAUAAAAGUACUUGUGAAUCAUAGACAACAUAUCAUAUUUAAUCAAAUUAUUUUACCUUGUCUUUCUUUCCAGCUUGCAUGUUCAAGGCACUAACAGUGAUCAUAUUCUGAUCUUGAAGAUCAGGAGCAGGUUGAUGACGUGCAGAUGAUAUUGUAAUUAUCUUUGGGGUGAGAAAAGGUUUGUUGACGCUGCAAAAGCAAACAAAAUAGCUUCAAUUGCUUUCAUAAGUUGAAACAAUAAACCUUAUGUUGUUCAACCUAUAAGAGCUUACCUUGCCCUAUAUACACAUAUUUCAGGAAUGGGUGGAUUGAUGAACGUACAUGUACUCAUCCCAGUAACGAAAUAUUGAAAGCACCAAAAACAGUUAAUAGCCAUUAUACAGUAACAACAUGUAGCAGGACAAAAUAACUCUCAUACCAAAGUGCCGGUGUUUUGUGCUUGUGAUGGCCAUCACAACUGGAGGUGUGGCAAAUUCUUAUUGUCUCAACAUCAAAUUCAGCUGCAAGUGUUCCCCACAAAGUGACUUUCAAAUUCAGCUGCAAGUGUUCCCCACGAUGUGUUGAAGGACGUGUUGCUUCCGAUGCGGGCGGAGGGUCAGGAGUACAAUGAGCCUCAAGGUUUGGCUCUCUUUGAUUGCUUUGAAAUGUGAAAGUUUGAAUCCAUUAGGAAUAUCACAUUUGUUGCCAGAUUGUGGCGCACUUCAAAUUUGAUAGGUUUCAGUUCAAAGUUUCAUGAAUAGGCACUGAUAUGUGAUGCUUAUGAAUUGGUUUUAUGAGAAGGACCACAUUGAAUUUGGUUAUGCACACCAGGUGCUUGAUGAAAUAUAUGUGAAUGAAUUUUGAUGUUUUUUCUUGAUGAGACCACAGUGGACCUUGAUGUGCUACCGAGGGCUGACAUUCUCAAGUUCUUGAGCAAGGAAUGUGAGGAAAGAGAUCCUACACGCUACAAAGAGAUGCGCAUUAAAGAUGAAACCUUAAGAAAUACAGAAUUCUGCCCAGAUUUUCAGUCAAAUUCGGCGGCAAAUUGCGAGCAGCUCAGAGCGAUCCAAGAACCUUGCCUUAUAUCAACGGAAAGCUAGAAGAGUCUAGUUUCCAGAACUUUUCACGGAUCGUUGAUAGCUAUUUUGUAGAGGAAGUUAUGGCCGUUGGAAGGAGGGAAUGUCAUUCUGCCGAAAACUGGAAAAGGAAGGAGAAAAGUCUAUCAAGCAAGUGUUCAUAUAACUGGCAAUGUAGCCGUUAAAUGUGGAUGAUGAUUUUGGAGGUUAAUUUCGCGGGAACUAGCAGUGCCCACCUGUCAGGUAAGCUUCACUUUCGACAUGAAGCUCUUAAUGUUUGAUUGAAUUUUUGCUUAUUGAUUUGUUCAUAUCUGAAAAUUUAGGAAAUAAGAGAAGCUUAGGGGAGAUUAAUUAAAAAUGAAGAUGACUUCUAUAUUCGUUCACAUGGGAAGUUUGAACAAAUUGCAAAUGAAUUAAAUGAAUCCAUUGUUUCUAUUGAUAUAUAAGGUGAAGCUCUAUGAAACAAUGUUAGAGUUGAAAUCUUAUUCGAUCUAUGAUUUACAACAAGAUUGGUGACAUUUAGCAAAUGAAGAUUUGGACAGGGUUUUAAAGAGUAUAUGUAUUUGGUGUAUAUCACACUUUAAUUAGGGUUUAUAUCCAAAAGAAAGGCAUUGUGUGUGUAUGAAAGUAUUUGUCAUAUUUUGUUUCUUGGCCAUACAUUUUAUUCCCUCUUGCUUGACAUGGAAUUUGGUUUCUGUUUUUUGUUUUUGUUUUUUUUUUUUUGUCCAGAAUUCUACAUUAUAAACUACCAAGCCUCUGAUUUGUGUGAUUGUGAUAACUUACUGCAUCACUUAUAUUGUAAUGGCAGUGGUUCUAACUUAGCUGCAAUUCGAGAGAAGUGGCCAAGAAGUACUGUCGUCCAUCAACUAGAAGCUCACAUUUUGAUAUAUGUUGUUCUAUGUUAAGUUGGUGAGGCUCAUCCCUAUUACACCCUCUACGCAUAUUUGACUCAAGUUGCUGUGAUAUAUAAUCAGUUAGUUCAGAACAAGUUUGUUGGGUUGUUCAAAACAAGCCCUGAUUUGUGUUGUUCAGAACUCACCAAAAGUUGUCCUUAGCUUCUACAAAGAUAGAAUAUGGUGCAAUUGUUGUUCUUGUAUAGAUAAUUUGGUCUACAUUUAAGAGAUCAAGAUUCUCUUUACAUACUUUUCUAUAAGAUAAAUAAGAUUGAUGUCCAGUGAUAAAUCUUUUAUAUAUGUUGCGCUAGUGUUACAUGGAUAGUUACAUAUCAAUUUUAACAGUUACAUCGGAAUGCUGCGCCAUGGUGCAGCGACACGUUGCAAAUAUCACAAAAUAGUCAUGGAAUAUAAAUGGUAGUUACAUGGGUAGUAACAUGGAUAGUUACAUAGAUGCAUAGUUACAUGGAUAGUUACAUGCAUAGUUACAUAGAUGGAUAGUUACAUGCAUAGCUUACAUAGAUAGUUACAUAGAUUAAGAGUGUAAUCUGGAAAACGUAAUAAAGAAAUAAGAGUGUAAUCUUGCUAUGUAACUACGAUGUUAUUACUCAAUUAAGAGUGUAAUCUGGAAAACAUAGUAAAGAAAUAAGACAUUUUCACCUUCAUUCAUAUGAUUUCAGUGGAUACUUGAUACAAUAACAGUAGUUUCCAGACCAAAAAAGAAAGUACAUCCUAGACUAAAGAGGUGCUAACCCCACUUUCUCUGCAUCAUAUCAAAACAACCCAGAGCUGCAUCCUAUUUGAUAUAAGCUCCUUCUUGCUGAUUUUGCCAAACCUCUCUGUUUAAGUAAAGCUGCAACAACAUGGCUGACAAGUACAAUGAGAUUUGUAAAUAAGUUAUAGCAUCAUGAUGACAAGUUGCUGAAGAAGUUCCAUAUGUGUGCGUAACUACAUAAGCUUCAUUGUCAAAGCCUUCUUCUGGAGUGAACCAAGCUUUAUGGAAUGAACCUAGUUCAGAAUACCAUAAAAAUCAAAUCCUUCUGUUCUUCAGUCACUACCAGAAGAAAGGCUUUAGCCGACGAAAAUAAAAAAACCAGGCAGACGAAUUAUUUUUUCGUCGGUUAACGUGGACUUUAGCCGACGAAAUUUUCCUUCGUUGGCUUAUUUAAAUUUUCGUCGGCUAAAGAAAUUUUUUCAUCGGCUUUAGUCUGUGAACUUUAGCCGACGUCUAUAUAAAAGUUUAGCCGACGAAUACCCUAAUAUUUCGUCGGCUAAACCCUAAACCCUAAACCCUAAACCUUAGCCGACGAAUACCCUAAUAUACGACUUGUUGCGUCUCAUCGAUUUGAAACUAUUUUCAGUUGAAGGUCCAGCCAAAAUACGUAAUUUAGACGGUCCAAUGACCUUUUCCGUGCGUUUAGGGGUUUGACUUAAGGGAUUGACCGUCCGGAUCGAGCCCUUAACCUUGUCGGAUCAAGUUGAAUUUUUUCCCAUAUAUGUAUUUUAUCAUGAUGGUCAGAUCUGAUGGUCGGAUUUUCGUUUCUCAAGUUUGAUCAUCACAAUCACAAUUUGACAUCAGAAUUAAACAAACACUCUUCAAAACAAAUUGAAGGACGAUCCCGUAACUUCCCUCAAAUACAUAGAGUCCGAAACCCUAACUUCCCCUCUGCCAUGUCACCGAUCCGCGUGACUCCUAUCAACUCAUUUUCCACCUUCAGAUUGCACACAUAACCGCCGUCCCUGACCGUCGGAUCGCACUCCGGAGGUCAUCCUCCUCCUUUAGAAAACCCACCUUUUAAAUUCUUGCUCUCUUUCAUUUCCUUCUCUGCAUCUCACUCUCUCCCAGACUCAAGUCUUCGUUUACAAAGAGAGCUCUCAUGGCCACCACUAAGUCCUCCAACGACGCACCGGCACCGGCGAAUCCAGCUCCACCGGCAAAUCCAGCUCCUUUUGGCGCAGCACCUCGAGAAGAUUAAGCAGAGCAGUGAGCUCGCUUUUGUGAAGAACAACUACAUGAAGCCUGACCCCAACGCGCCGCCUAAGCACGGCCGUGGCCGUCCUCCCAAGCCGAAGGUCCCGAGGGCUGAAGGAGCUGCUGCCAUGGUUUCCUCGCCUCUGAGGCCACAUGGCAGGCCUCCCAAGGCUAAGGAUCUGUUUUUCCCGACUCCGAUUGUCCAGAGCUCGACCUCGGGAGGAGGGUCAGGCAGGCCACGUGGCCGUCCUUUGAAGAAGGCCAAGACUGCUCCGGCUAACGCUCCUGCUGCUCUGACGAGUGGUGGUGGUAGUGGUGCUCCUAGAGGGAGAGGCAGGCCACCGAAAGUGAAGCCCUCCGUGGCUCCGGUGGGUUGCUGAGCUCACACUGAGAGUGAAAGUCGUUUAUGUUUUUUUUUCCUUUUUUAAUUUGGGUUAAUUUUAGGGUGCGUUGGAAUUUAGUGUUGGGCUAAUUGAUGGUCUAGCUUUCAUUAUCGCAGUGUUUGUUUAAUUUUCAUGUGUUGUGAGUGGUGUUGGCUUCUGUAUUUUGCAGGUUGCUUGGAAUGGUAAUUUAGAAAUAUCGGGUUUUUUUUUUACUGUAAUGGACUUAUAGCCGACAAAACAUUUAAGAUAUUCGUCGGCUAUAGUAUUUUAAUUUUUUUAUAAGGUUCAGCCGACGAAUUAUGGUAUGUUUCGUCGGCAAUAGUUAUUUUUUUAAUUUUUAAUUCGUCGGCUAUAGUUAUUUUUUAAUUUUUAUUAUAUACUUUAGCCGACGAAUAUCUUAAAUGUUUCGUCGGCUAAAGUCUUAUCUCAGACUAUGGUCGACGAAAUAUUUAAGAUAUUCGUCGGCUAAAUUCUGGGACAAUAGCCGACGACGUCUUCUAGUUUCGUCGGCUAAAGUAAUCGCUGACGACUUUUUCCCGACGAAACCAUAGCCGACGAAUUAAGCUAACAGGCCAACGAAACUUUUUCUUCGUCGGCUAAAGUGCUUGUCCUGGUAGUGAGUUUAAUGGGGUGAACCCAGCUUCAUAAUGCCAUCAGAAUCAAAGUAAAGCUGGAAACCAUCAAAAAAUGAAACUGAUCAGCAAGCUUACAAAUGCAUUGAUCAUUAUCACUAAGCAAGAUUAUAGAGAUAUAAUGCUUCUAUAAGCAAGAAUUACAAAUGCAAAUUACUUAAAGCAUUAAGAAACUCACAAGCCCAUGGUGAGUCUUGUAUCAAUGCCACUCUCUAUCUAGAAAGAAAAACAGUACCUUGGAGAACUUUUUAUCACGAUCAUAAUCAAGUCCAGGAGGGGCAUUCUGUAUGGUGGCUAGGGCUAACUAAGAUUAGACCAAGAUCGGAUUAUUUACAACUAACUGAGAUUAAACCAAGAUCGGAUUAUUUCCAACUAUUGAGAUUUAGCACUUCCAAUAGGGAAAUCAAUUUCACAUAGAUCAAAGAAUACAAAACCAAAUUCAUCAACAUGCUAAUAUGGUCCAAAACAGAUCGUAGUAUUCAUGCAACUAACUGAGAAUAUAAUUGCAUCUACAACUAUUCAAAAGAACAAAUCAUAUAACAUGGCAUAUGAGAUAAUAAGAUCGGUGUCCAAUUGAACAAAUGUCAGAUGGGAGAAUACUACGCCUUGUGCCUGAAAGAGAUGGAAGACUAGAGCUCAAGCAAUUUGAUCUUCACAAAUCUGUGUGAGGUGUGCUGAAGAACAUAAACAAGAAUAAUAUAGACUUAAAGAGAGAAAGUGAAUAUAUGUACAUGAUAAGACGUAUUUGCACACGCAUCAAUUAACCCUGUCAACAAAUCAAUCGUAGUAUAAAGCAAGCAGGGAUCGUUCUAAACCGGGGAUCCAACUACAGGGUAGAUCCAUCUAACCUAAUAUAAAUGUCGAAAUAAGCAUAUAGGGUUUAAAGGUUUGAUGAUUUCGAAAUAGACAUUGGAAAUAAAUCCUAAAUUACCUCUAUACAUAUUUACAUGUGAUCAACCAACAAUCAUGCAAACACAACCAAACAACCAUGCAAGAACAAAGAAGACGAUCUCUAAUCUCAUUUAAGUCCACAUCGUGAGCAAAUACACAACCUAAAUUUGAUAUGCACAUAAGUUCCUACGUGGUUCCUAUGACAUAGACAUACUUAGAAUUAGACUACGGGUUUCAUUCAACAUCGUGACACAAACAAGCACGGCUACGUGCUCUACUUAUAGGUCACACACAUAAACUAAUCAUGCAAUUACGUAUCACAUAAAGAAUCGAUGUGUUUAAGCACAAGUCCAAAUCAAACAUAGGUAGAAAAUCGGUGAAAUAACAAAAACAAUGCGACUUAUCAACUUCUUGUAUCAAAGUCGAACUUUGGAUGAUUAACACAUGCAAUAUCAACUACUUGUAUCAAUUACACAUGAAAAUAGAAGAAUGCACCGAAAAUCUUAAAGUAUAUAGACAUAAAACUCACGGCAUAAAACUUAAAAUCAUUGAUUAUAAAUUGUAAACUUUAAUUCAAAACAUGGCUCAAAAGUACCUCUAUCUCAUAGACAAGAAUCGAAACAUACUUAAGCAAAAACCUAAAACAAACAUAAACAAGAACAAACACAUUAUAAUCCGAAAGUAAAAGAUGACGCGGCUCGUUACCGGGCGCGUAAUUUAAAAACCCUUUUUUAUCAGAAUGUAGUAUUGGCAAAUAGGGUUCGAUCAAUCCGGGGACCUAAAGGGCGCUCCUGCAGUCAUGGUUACACUAAAGAAUUAGUAACAGAAAGUAAUUACAAGUAUUCAGUUACAAAUAUACACAUGGUACAAUAGAUAAAAAGGGGGGGUUUGAAGGUUUGUUUACUAAAUUCCUACGAAAACAGUAGGGAAAAGAAAUAAACUACUAUUUACAAGUGAUCGACUUCCACACUUUCGAAACCAGAUUCCAGAAAACAUAAUCGUAAUCUAAUGAACUUUAAUCACACAAUUGAGUUAUCACCAAAGAGAAACACAGAAGGGUUCUAAAUACAAGCCUACGAGGUCAUGCAUUUAAUCGGUUCUUCUAAAUAGUCAUCCAAGCUAAAACGUCUGAACUUAGAACAUUUUACAUGCUGCUGCUAUCAAUACUGUAAGUAUCUGUCUACAAACAUGCAAAUCAUUAAGUAAAAGAACGAACCCUAACAUGCAAAGAGUUUACGUACGACGCUUAACCAUUCACAUGCAAAACAUGUUCCUAACCAUACAGGAUAUGGCCUCCACUACUGGUGAUCUAUACUUACCAACGAGGCUUAGCACAGAUCAUAGCAUUAGUUAGCAUGCAUUCUAACGUAGGUAAAUCAAACACAAACAUGCUUCCAACGAAUUUCUAAGGCAACUGACUCAAUCGCAUAAUAUCAUUAGAACAAUGAAAUCAUAACUAUUAUUAUCUGAAAAUCACUUAGUUCUCAACAAAGAUUCCAUCCAAUUCGGAAAAUAAAACACAUGGUUCUUAAAUGAAACCUAAAAACAAAAGAAGAUGGCCAGAAAGUACUAGACAUAGAUUUACACUUUUCAAUGGACUGAUUGGCCGAUCAAGAACUUGAGGUCGUGCAAGGCUGUGCUAGGGCUUUAGUACUCCCUAGAACGUCCGAGGCAGCAAGGGCUUCUCUUCUUCUUCUUCUAGGGACUCACGGCAAUGAGAGAAACUAAGAGAACGUUUCUGAAUUUCUAAAGCGUAGGAAGUGAUGCUGAAAACGUUCCUCUCUGCUCCUUUAUAUAGUGGUCAUGUCGACAUAGGGUUUUACUCCACACCAUUGAUUAAAAUCUGAUCCAAGGGCCAUAAAUAAUAGCACAAUAUUUUCAGAGAAUAUUCCUUAGAAUUCUCUAGAAUAUCUUGCACAUUAAGAGUUUGAAUCCGGCUGGAAUUGUGGUUGAAUACAUUGCUUGUUUUCCAAAUUGAAAUCGGCUUGAAUCUCUCCUUGUUAAUUACCGAUUUGCUGCUGAUAAUUCUUCCCAUAUUUGUGCCAUUUAAUGUCCCUAGAAAAGGAAUAUAAAUCAGAUAUAAACUCUAGGAAUAUUAGGAAUUUAUAUGGAGAAAUAAAAGGUAAGAAUUUCCCUUAAUUUCCUUGAUGUUUGCUGCAUUAGCUCCAUAUAAAUUCGGCUGGAAACCCUAAAAAGAUGGUGCCAUUCUCCUCCUUUUAUGUGACAGAAUUUCGGCCUAAUCCAUGUAGGAUUUGGUUUCCUUGCUUCAUGUGGAAUCCCUGUCUCAAGAGGAAAGAAAGUUUCCAAAAGAAUUCAGGAAAGUCAAAAUAGGAAAGAUUCAAAGUUAGUAAGUUUCCCCAAUCAAAAUAGGAAAGUUUCCCAAAAUGAAAUAGGAAAGUUUCUCCUUAUCAAAACAGGAAAAUUUCCUAAACGACUUAUCCUUCUUAAUCCGCCGGUUUUAACUUCCUUUUUCACUUUUCCGCUCUUUUAUCUUUACAAUCAUAAAACAUGUUUAAAAUGACAAUGUUCAGAGAAUAACAUAACUAAAUAAGGUAGGAAAUACGUUAAUAUCGUAGCACUUUGUGCUCCUAUCAAAAGAUGAAAUACACUCUCAGAAUAUCCCUACUUGUUCUAUUCUUCGAGUGAGCGGAACCCUAGGCUACUUGCUUUGGAUCAAGGAUGAUGGUGGGUUUGGAUUAUGGUGUUUGGAGAAUGAUGAAGUUUUGGCAAAGCUUUGGUGUUAUUUUGCACGGGUUGAUGAUAAUUAAUUGCUGCCAUACUGUGCCCUAUUUAUAGAGUAACAAGACUUGAUCUCCAAGAAUUCCUCAAGCACAAGGAAUCCUAUUGAAUCGGCAAAACCAAGUCCAAGUUGGAUUUAACUUCCUCUCUUGUUCUUCAAGUAAUCCUCAUGCAUUAAGGAAUGACAAAACCAUCUUGAACUUGGAAAACCUUCUCUUAGGCCGCACGGUUUCUCUCUCCUUGGUGACUUGGGAAAUCUUCACGGCAUCUCCAUACAUAUCUCGGAUUGUACUUCUCCUAGCUCAAGCAGGAACUCCUAGCUGCUGGCCACAUUUCCCUCAUAAGUCAGGAAAACAUUUCCUAAUCAACACGGGUUUAGACUUUCCUGAAAUAGAAAUAAGAAAAUUAGAAACUAGGAAAGAGGAAAGAUGGAAUCCUGAUCAAGACAGGAAUCCUGAGUAAACAAGGAUUUCCAACACUUAGCACAAUUUCAACACCAAAUUAUUCAAAUCCGAAAAUUCUAUGAAUUCUAAUACUAAAACACAAAUAUAAAGCUAAAACAACUAAAUAGGAGUUAACAAAGGGUAAAUAAAGGGUAUAAACAUAUUAAGAACGUCACACUUUGUGCUCCUAUCAGUACGCUUUCGCUUUGUGCCUGUUAUUCCACCUCAUAGAGAAGGAGAUGGGAGAACCAGGGCUCAAACAAUUUGAUCUUCACAAAUUUGUGUGAGGUGUGCUGAAGAACAUAAACAAGAACAAUACAUACUUACAAAGAGAAAGUGAAUAUAAUAUAUGUAAGCUUUGUGCCUGUUGUUCCAUCUCAUAAUCAUGUUUGUGUUGUCUUAAGCUGCAAUUGUGGCCAACUCAAACAAUUAUACCAUAAACCCGUCAAAAAAUUUGGGGAAAAUCUAUAUAAAAAAAAACCCUAAAAUCCAGAGGAAAAUGGUGAGUGAGUACAUACCUUCUUCGGAUCUCCGAGUCGGGUCCAUGUUCUUAAACUCCUUGUGGAUUCAAGACUAGAGCGCGCCUUCAUCGGAUCUAUCGUCAACAUCCAGUCCAUUUUAUCGGAUCCAUCGAAUUCUAGCGUCGGAACGUUAUCGAUUUCGACCAAUUCUUCGACAACAACCAGAUCUGAUUCUUCGACAACUCCGAGCCCAAUCCCGUCCUUCUUCUUCACCGCCAACAACUUGGCCAGGAUGAAGAUUAUGGUCCUCACGUCUGGUAGGCAGGAGAGAGAGAGAGAGAGAGAGAGAGAGAGAGAGAGAGAGAGAGAGAGAGUAGAAGUGCAUAGAUCCUGUAAUGUGAAGUAGAUGGAGAUAGGAUAUUAGAGGAGUAAUUUUAUUACUGAAGAGUGUUUCAAGCACUAUUAUUUCACAGUCUUACAGCAACCAAAGCAGCCUAGACUCAACAGCCCUAACCGUGCUCAAGAGUCCUAGCUACAUAUAUAGUUCACAAAAUGAUACAAACAAGUUUAUUUUAAAUACAUACCACAACCACAGAUGGUUUUAGUUCUUAGGGAAGUAGCUCCACUACACAACUCAUAAGUAGUAGCAUAACAGGUCUGGGAUGGUUUGUCACAAUGAAACAGCAGAUGACAACUAGAUAUCAAUCGGUGCAGCAGCGAAACAUGAAGAACUUCUCCAUCUCACGACCACACUCGGUACACACCACUUUGUCCGGAAUGUCUGGACCGAACCCAGGAAUGAUCAAACGAGUACAAUGAUGUGGCUCGUGAAGCUGUUUGAGCUGGUUUUUGAGUUCAGGCAAAAAGCCUAACUCAGCAGCUGCAGGUUUCCAGGCCUCAAAGUCGUCAAGCGUGAUAGUAGUCAGGUGUCCAUUAGCUCUAACAGUAUCAGCUGAGCCCAACCACAACAUAACCCAACCAUGGUCACUUCCAUCAUAGCUAAAUAAACUCAUGACCUCUCUCAGUAUAGUAUCAUCGUCUAUAGUCUUGUGGUGCUUAGCCUUUGAGCACCUCAUGCUGUCAAGUCGAGACCAAAAGAACCAGGUGGAUGUGUAAUCAGACCAGUUGCGACUGAGAUUCUCAGCAUCAAUAAUUCUGUUAAGUUUCCAGAGUUUCUCUUUUGAGGCGGUGCUUCUUCCUGCAUAAACCAAUUCCAAGGGAAUACCUGUACGUUUUGCCAUUGUUUGUCAAACAGUUGGUUCGACUGUUCGAACUAAGACUUCUAGCGAUGAAGCCGAUAAUGUCAAGAGUUUAUCCGAUGUGCAAGGUGAAUGGCGUGCAAUUUAUAUGUGAACAGAGAGAUAGCAGACGGAGAACACAGAAUUCUGGGGUGAUGGCGCAUGGCGGGCGGAAUGGAGUUGACUAUUACGGUGUUCUUGAUUCAGUGGUGGAACUCGUUUACGGUGAAAGCAUGACAGUGCACCUCUUCAAGUGUAGAUGGUUUGAUACUAGCCCGCAGAGCAUGAAGACCGAUCAGUACGGAAUAUUAUCGGUGAACACUGCUACAAGUUCUUACGAAGAUGACCCGUUCGUUUUUGCCACAUCGGUAAAACAAGUGUUUUAUCUUGAUGACCUUGCUAAGGGUGACGCGUGGAAAGUAGUCAACCUUGUGCACCCUCGAAACAUUUACCGGGCGGCUACACUUGGAGAGGCCGAAGACCAGGAAGAAGAUGUUGCGUAUCAAGAGCCCAACGCAAUAGGUAUUCCUAACUCCUCUACCGUUCGCCUUAAUAAUUUUAAAGCGGGUCGUUCGGUGCGAAUUCGUGAUGAAGAGCCAAGGCUUAUUGAUGUUGAUCCAAAUCAAGAAACAGACGAAGACUCUGGCGAUGAGGAAAUACAUUGAUUACCAGAAAUUAAUUCUGACACCGAAGAAGACUCAUCGGAUGAUUCCGAUUACGAGCCUUAGUUUUAAUUUAGAAGACGUAAUACAUUAAUUUGUAAUAAAAAAGAUUGUAUUACCUUAUACGACUUGUUGUGUCUCAUCGAUUUGAAAAUAUUUUUAGUUGAAGGUCUGGCCAAAAUACGAAAUUUAGUCGGUCCAACGACCUUUUCCGUGCAUUUAGGGGUUUGACUUACGGGAUUGACCGUCCGGAUCGAGCAGUUAACCUUGUCAGAUCAAGUUGAAUUUUUUCCCAUACAUGUAUCUUAUCAUGAUGGUCAGAUCUGACCGUCGGAUUUCAUUUUCUCAAGUUUGAUCAUCACAAUCACAACAUGCCUACUAAUGUUGUAUAACUUGUUUACCGAGUGUUAAGUAAAUGUUCCGUUUCAAAAACAAACUAUACAUAGAACCUUCAAACGUAAAAAAGUCAUGAAAUAAGACAUGACCAGAAUGGUGAAAUACGUCUACGGUUGAAAAAUCACGGUAUUCUGGUAAAGUAUCGGUGCCGAUAGUUGCGGUCAAUGCAAUUUUCCAUUCUUUCUCCCUAUGGGUAGCCCUAUCUUCGGUGGUUAUUUUGCGUAAAAUUUUUAUAGGACUUGUUGCGUCUCAUCGGUUUGAAACUAUUUUCAGUUGAAGGUCCAGCCAAAAUACGUAAUUUAGACAGUCCAAUGACAUUUUCCGUGCGUUUAGGGGUUUGACUUAACGGAUUGACCGUUCGGAUCGAGCCCUUAACCUUAUCGGAUCAAGUUGAAUUUUUUCCCAUACAUGUAUUUUAUCAUGGUGGUCAGAUCUGACGGUCGGAUUUUCGUUCUCAAGUUUGAUCAUCACAAUCACAAUCACAGUUUGACGAAUGGUUAAUUGUUUUAAAGCAGACGAAUUUCAAAGGUUUAGCCGACGAAUUUAUUGUUUAGCCGACGAAUUUCAAAGGUUUAGCCUCCUCCUCCUCCCUCUCCCUCUCCGGCCUCCUCCUCCGGCCCUAGCCUCCUUCUCCUCCUCCUGCUCCGGCCGGCCGGCCUCCUGCUGCUCCGGCCUCCUCCUGCUGCUGCUCCGGUCCUCCCUCCUCCUCCUCGAGUACAUUUCUAAACUUUAGUUAUAUUUUGUGUUUGCUUUUAUUUUUCGGUCAAUUGCAAUGUUGUGGUGUUGUUAGGAAGUGUAUAUUUGUAUUUAGGAAGUGUAUAUUGUUAUUUAAUAAGUGUAUAUUUGUAUUUAGUAUUUAGGAAAUGUAUAUAUUUGUUUUGUAUUUUGUGUUUGGUUUGAUUUUCCGGUUAAUUGCAAUGUUGUGGUGUUGUUAGGAAGUGUAUAUUUUUAUUUAUGAAGUAUAUAUUUAGGAAGUGUAUGUGUAAAUUUUAGGAAGUGAAAAUGUAUUUAGGAAGUGUAUAUAUUUUUUACAUUUUUUAAAUGAGUUUGCAUUUUUUGAUUUUGUGGCCUUGAUUCAAAUUUAUAUUUUAAAUAGGAUGAGCGGUAAUAUUGGAUCGACGAAGGGUUCGAAGGGCCAAAAGUCCGUAUCGUCUGAGGGAACCUCUAGCAACCCUCAGACAUCGUUUCAGGGUCUCAUGACAGCUAGACAUGAGAGCCUUCUGCAGACGGCGCAGAGGUAGCCGGAGAUGGGCCCUUCAUCAAGGCAGCGGGGCGUCCCUCAUAUCUCGAGGCAGUUGUUUACUCAGACCCAGACGGAGGUGUCUGCACCCCGUAUGCCUGAGAUACACCGGGCGCCCACUCCAGGUCCUACUUCUUCGGAUAGUGGGUCAUCUGGGGUACAGAUGCCGCCGCCUCAUCUAUAUCUUCCGCGGAUGAUACCGGCCAUACCUGUAGUCGAUGACUCAGGGACGCCGAUUUAUCCACUGCCCCCGCCAGUGGCUCCAUCAGCGGCGUACUGGUUCGUGCCUUUUGAUACGCCUCUUAUUUCCGCGAGGGUAUCAUCAUCGGAGACGGAAUCCGUCGCGUCCGCCUCCUCGCCCUUAGGUAAUGAAAGAUGAAUGAUUUGUUUUCUUAUAAUUCUUCGAUUUUAAUAAUCAAUUUGGUUUAUCAUGUGAUAGGCACCGUCGGAGCGAAGCCGACAAAAAAGAAGAGAGGCCCCGUCACAGGGAAGGCUCUCGAGAAGAUCGUCGGUACCUCAGGGAGGAUUGUCAUCGGUACUGAUGGGGAUGGCGACGUAGUAUCGGGCGGGAAGUCGAGGACGUACUCCGGCCGUGUGGGAGCGCUCAUUAGGGAUAGAGUCCCCAUGUUGUGGUCAGACUGGGGCGAGGUCCCGCAAGAGGUUAAGGACAUUGUCCACAACGCGAUGUCGGUGAGUUUACAAAAUGCCUUAAUAAUAUUAUGUAUUAUAGUUUAGAUUUCUCGAAAAACUAAACUAAUAAACGGUUAAAUGCAGGUGUGGUUUGAGGUUCCCGAGCCCUUGAAGAGCAGCUGGGCGGACAUUGUGCAUGGGGGAAGGUACAUUGGGAUUAAUGAAAAAACAAAAUUGUAUGUCAUAUUAAUAAUAUUUCUAAUAUUUUUGUUGUAUAUGUAGGUACAAGGAGUGGAAGAACGAGUUGCGAACCCAUUGGACUACGCACGGGAACGCACGUUCUGCUACCCCUGCUGAGUUCCAGUACAGAGAGUAUGAGUGGCGUUGGCUUCUGACAUCAGAAUUCAACAACCCUCGUAAACAGGUAUUUAAAUAAAUUAAUUAGUGAAUUUGUCAUUAAGCACGUGCGUUUUUAAAUAUUUUACUAAUAGUUUUGUUUUUUCUUUGAAGGCGGUUUCCCGGGCGAACGCUCAGAACCGGCAACGCAACACAAGGAACCAUCAUGCCGGUUCUAGACCGUUCGCUGUCUUCAUGGACAAGGCGGCCAGGGAACAUCCAGAGGUCAACCAGUACGUCUAUACGUACGAGAAGGCAUAUCCUGACUCCCAGGAGGAUAUAGUAAGUAAUCUUUCCUUUUUACAAAAUUUUUAAUUUUACUUAUAUAUAUGUCAAAAUGUUAAUUAAUAAUUUUUUUUCUAUCCAAUUAGGCAAAGGUGAUGGAGGCUAGUGACGAGGUGAUGAGUGCUAUAGUGAGGGAGACAUGGCCGGACACGCAAGAGGAAGAGAUGUCCGAAGCCAUUUCCCGGAUCGACACUUCAGAUCCGAGGGUUGGGGCGAGGAUCAUGGGCACAGCCUUCCCACCGCGAGAAAACAACUUCUACUGCCGGGGUCUAGGAAAGAAGGGUCAGGGGGUCUUGAAGACCACUCCAGGAUUUUAACGAAAGGCAGCCUCGACCAGCAGCAGGACGACUCAGCUAGAGUCGGACGUUGAGAGACUACGGGAACAGCAAGCCUCUCAGGCUGCUGCUCAGGCUGACGCUCAUGCUGCUCAGGCUGCCGCUCAUGCCGCCCAGAUCGCCGAAUAUAGAGCCUAUGCUAGAGCCCUACAUGCCGCCCAGCAGGCCCAGCAUCAGCAGAUGUUCUAGUACUUCUAGGAUUUUACAGCUGCCCAGCUUCAGGGACUUCCACCUCCGCCCAUGCUUGCGCCUAUACAGUUACCUCUACCGCCGCAAUCUCCUCACCAGCAGGCCCCAGAAUCGGAUCUUGAUUUAGACCAUUUAGAUUUUGUGUAGUUGAUACCUUAUAUAGUUUUAUAUGCUUCUUGUUGGUUAUAUAUAUGGAAUUGUUUUGGUGUAUUUUGCAGCUUGCUUGGAAUGGUAAUUUAGAAAUUUCGAGUAUUUUUUUUUACUGGAAUGAAGUUAUAGCCGACGAAACAUGCCACAAUUCGUCGGCUAUAGUUUUUUAAUUUUUUUUCCAUAGGGUUUAGCCUACGAAUUAUGGCAUGUUUCGUCGGCUAAACCCCACUAAAGCCAACGAAACAGACUCUAUUUCGUCGGCUAUAGUUUUUUUGAAUUUUUUCAUUAAAUACUUUAGCCGACGAAUUCUGUCGGCUAAAGUCUGGAACAAUAGCCGACGAAUAUUUCUGUUUCGUCGGCUUAAGUUUGGGAGUAUAGCCGACGACGUCGUAUUUCGUUGGCUAAAGUCUGGAACAAUAGCCGACGAAAUAUAGUGUCUGUUUCGUCGGCUUAAAUGCAUGAAUAAAAGCCGACGACAAAAUAGUUCGUCGGCUAAAGUCUGGACAAUAGCCGAUGACAGUCUCUAGGUUCGUCGGCUAAAGCCAUCACCGACGAGCCUUUCCCGACGACACUAUAGCUGACGAAUUUGGAUAACAAGCCGACGAAAAUUUUUCGUCGGCUAAAGUGCUUGUCCUGGUAGUGAACCUAACUCUGGGCUCAUUAUGCUGGGAGACUUUCUCCCGUUACAUUAGGAGACGUAAUUGAAGAGGGACCCAUGGAUCCCAGCUUAACCAUAUUUAAGGUAUUGGGUUUUAAUCACAAAAGACAUCAGUACAAUUAAGUGUGAUCCAUCCACUUAUAAGUUGUAUUUUAUUUAUCUCUUUUCUGAUGUGGCAUGGGAUCUUUCCUCUCCAACAGAGAAGUUUAUCAAUAACUGUUAAUCUUGGUUUGGUAGAAAAUGAAAGAUGAGAUCAUUUGUUUUCAUGAUCUCAUAAGCAGCAUCUGCAGAUGAAACUAUGAUCACAUGUCGGGAACCAAAAUGAAGCAUCAUGAGUUCACCAUGGUACUUGAUGUAUCCAUUAUAUGCUAUGUUUUUAUACCUUUAAAUCUCGGAUUUGUAUUAUACUUUCUGUCACAUCCUGGUUCUUAAAUUAUUUUUAUCGUUGGGUUACUUUGAUCUUUUACUGUUUUGAGUAACCGUUUACUAUUUAAGGACCCUAGAGUUGACUUUUCGUAAGAAAAUUAUUUUGGAAGAAUUUUUAAAGGACGUCGAUCGUAGAAGACGUUAAUACGAAUAUCCGUAGACAUGCUAUACGUUAAAAUCGGAGUUGGUAUGAAAAAGAUAUGGUGUAAAGACUAAAGUUACUAUUUUUGGUCAGUGGUAUAAAAUGGUCCAAAGGUGGAAAGUCAAAAAAGUAAAAAAUCAGAACUCACCUUCUCUCUCUCUCUCCUCCUUCUUGUGUCUCUCUCCCACAACAGAUUCUUCAUCGCCGUUCGCUACCGUCCGACCGAGUUGGGCGGCAAGGUUGGUAUCAAAUCGAAGCUUGGACAUCCCUUUUCAUGUUUAGGUAGGUUGUUGGCCGUGUCGUGUUGCCUUGAGGGAGAAAUCAUGCCGAGAAGACGAGGCUGUGCGUGGUGGAGUUCAGCUUGAAACUCCCUCCUUCGGCCACCAUCGUCAGAGAUCCUUGUAUUAACUUGAAGCUCUCCUUUCAGGUAGCAAACCCUCAAAAGGAUUCGAUCCAAUUCAGGCUAGGUAAGGAGAAUCAAAGCUUUGAAAUUCUAGGGUUCUUGAUUUUGGGAUUUUCUGUUUUGGCUCGAUUCGCAUUUUUAGACUUAAAAUUGAUCUUCGGGCUAGUUAUGAAAGUUGUUUAAAAUGUUGAGACGAUGAUUGUGUUAAAUUUUGGUGAGCAUUGGAGGUGGCCGGAAUUCGGGCUGGCCGGCCGCCGUUGCCUGCGAAGCAGACGGCAGCGCUGCCUCUUUUGGGUUGUUUUUCAUGUUAUUUAAUUUGUUAUGAUGAGAGGAGUCCAAUGGUGUAAAGUUUAUAAUUUUUAAAGGAGUUUUGGUUAUGUUUGAGAUUUUUCAAAAUUGGUGAACUUAGCGGUUGAUAGGAUAGAAUCCGAUCAUUGGAUUAGUGUUAAUUAAACUUCAGAAAGUUGUUUUAAGGAUUUUGAUGCUUGUGGUGAAGUUUGAGUCUUAUUGGUCUACGGAUGGAGAAGUUGGGCAAGGGUGAAGGAUUUAUAGGCUCACUUUUAUUCUUGCACUUUUUUUUAAAGUAUCGAGUUAGUCUUGAGACAUAAUAAUAUCUAUUGUUCAAGACGUGAGGAGGAUCGUGUUGGGAGACCUCGGAUCGAUGGCAGACAUAGUCGUAUACUGUGAGUGGACAUUUCGGUUUUUAUUAAAUAUGUACGCAUGACUUUAUAAGUUAUCGUUAUUAUUUUUACCGAGCUUAUAUAUUAUAAUUUUGGCUUAUGACUUGGAUCAUAAAUUAUUUGAGAUCGUUAAUAAUUUAUGGAUUUGAGCUUGAGUUAUUAAUUUGGUAUUUGAGUUUUGUUAUUCUUUAUGAUUCCCGGAUUUAAUUAUUAUCGUCAUUAUUUGUUGACCUUGAGAUUUAUAAAAGAUUACCGAAGAUGAGAUUUCCGAUAGGUCUCAAUUUAUAAUUUCCUCGUUUAUUGUGGAUGUUCGAUUUUGACAUUGAGAAUAUUUUAGUGAGUAUUUCGGGUUGAGAAAUUCUUUAAUUUACGAUUUAUACUUGAUAAUUAAGUCUCGCUGAUAAAUAUAGAUUUGAGAAUAUUUUGACAUGCGAGACAUGUCAUUGAAUAUUAUUUUAAUUUCAUAUAAUAAUCUCCAAGUACGGUUGGGAAUCGUACCAUUUGCAUGAUUUUGGGGAAGCUUUAUGGAUUUAAGUGAUUUUGUAUGUUUUUAGUCACCAUACUAGGGUCACUCUUAUUCAUUACUAGCUAUCUUUUAUUAGCGGUCCUCACCAUAGGUGAGUCGAGUGCUUAACGUGGGAUGUUAUUGUAACCUGGGAGGCUCUGAUUGGUUUUAUUCAUUGUUAGCUAGCCAUUAUUAGCGAUUCUCACCAUAGGUGAGUUGAGCAUUUAGAGUGGGACGUUACUAUCUUAUUCAUUGUUAGCUAGCCUUUAUUAGCGGUCCUCACCAUAAGUGAGUCGAACCUUUAACAUGAGACGCUACUAGAGCCUAGGAGGCCCCAAUCGGUUUUUAUUCAUUGCUAGCUAACCAUUAUUAGCCGUCCUCACCAUUGGUGAGUCAAGCCCUUAGCGUAAGAUGCUAGUAGAGCCUGGGAGGCUCCGACCAGAGCCUGGGAGACUCCUCUUAUAUGGUGAUAUCUCUUUCCCUUGUGUAAUUUUUCUCAAGUUGUGUAUUUGAUUAAUCAACGGGGCUGGUUUGUCUAUUCUUAUGUGGUUGCGGACAAUAAGCCGAAUGUUUGAUCAAGGUUGCUUGCAUCAAAGAGGUUUUAAAGUUUAAACAUGGGAAAGUAUCUGAAUAAGAUUUUGUUAAAUUAUUUAAUUUUAUUUUUGUCCACUCACUCUAACUUCUUUUAAUUACUUUCCUCUGGGCCAUUCGGUUUCAGAUGCCCAGUUUGCAGGUUAGCUUAGAAGAGGUUAGGUGUACACGGAGUUCAGCUAUAGUCAAUAACAUAGCUUUCGCUGGCUUCCUUAUCUAUGUUUUCUUUUCUUAUUAGAAUUGCUCUGAUUACCUUUGAGAUUGUUGUGUUCUGGGUGUUGAUGCAGUGCUGGGAGCAGGGUGACUCUAGGAGUUGAGGGUGAUUUUUUUUUAUUAUAAAAGUGUAUGUUUGGAUUUGGCAUGUAGGGUUGUACAUUUUCAAAGGAGGUUAUGGACCCCGCAGGGUUUACUCCGGAUUUCAAGAGGAAAUUCAGGAUGGGUCCUGACACUUUCAAGUAAUUUAGUUCAAUUUUACUUAGUUUGUCGUUUUUCAGGUUCAAAGAGCAAGGAGAAGCAAUUGGAGCAGGAAGGAUUGAAAGCGACAUAGCAAUCCCGAAUUCUGGGCAGUGAGGCUAUGCAGAUCAGCCAACUUCGCCAAAUCACUGAGAGCAACUCAAAUCGAAUCAGAUGAUGAGCCUUAUAGCAUUACAAAGCUACAAAUGUCUUCUUUCUAUAGCAUUUUACGAAUCUCUAUUUUGAUACUUCUAGAGUCAGUUACGGUCAUUUGAAUGAAGAUAGGUCAUAUCAGGAAAUCUGCACGGGUUUGCAUACAUUCAUGGAGAACUCAAGUUCCAUGGCACAAGAUCUCCAAUCCUUAUGCUUCAAUGAAGUUAAUUCAGACGAGGAUGCAAAGAAUACAUGUAUUCCUAGUUCUACAAGAGAUAUUUCAAAUUCCAUAUCAAGAAAGGAGUCUGAUUUCAAGUCUUACAAGGAAACUUGAAGCCAAAGAUGAGCAGGAAAUCUCCCUUAUAUAAGGAGCACGAAUUUCACAAAGAAAGAGCUUCCAGGACGUGACAUACUUGGAGACAGCCAUCAUCACCUAUCUUUCAUCCAUUUUCCCUUUUAGUCUUUUUAUGUGUUUCAUUGUUUUCGUUAUGACUUUUAGUAGCUAAAUCUUUUGUUAGGGCCAUAAUGGAUCCUUAGCAUGACUAUUCGAUGUUUAUAGUUAGAUGAUUACUUUAUUAUUGGAUUGGUGUUGAGUUUUUAAUCUCUAUAAGAAUUGUUGCUUAUUUCAAAAUACUAGAGUCUCACGACCCUUAGGGUUUUGUUUUAAGCUAUUCAAUGCAAGAGUAGGUAGAUGCCAAUGCUGAAUCUUGAAUGCUUCUUGUGAUUAAAAACCAUAGAUUGAUAAGAUAGAUACCAUGUUUUAUUGGUUUAUGUGAGUCCUUUUGUUCUCAUUGAACUUCAUUGACCCUUAGAGAGUAUAUGUCAUACUUAUAAGAAUAGUUGAAUACUGUACUCUGCCAUAAGGUAGUAUUCAUGCUUUGGAGAACUCUCAUAUGAUGGAUUCUUCAACACCGGUUUAGUAGUUAGUAAUCGGUAGACUAGGAACUCGAAUAGGAUUGUGACGGUGAAGUUGGAAGCCCUAGCGUUUGUCCAUCGUUGUUUUCAAAACCCUUUCAAAACAUCUUCUCAAUCAAUUUGCUUGUUUUACUCUUUUCUCAUUGUUUACAAAAAUUACAAAAAUAUCUUCUUAUUUUCUUGUCAGUUGUUAGACUAAUUUGAUCAAUUAGUUAGAAUUGAAAGUUAGUUAUCCAUACCUAGUUGGAACGACCUCGUACUUGCAUAAGCUAUACUGUAAACGAUUCGUGCACUUAUGAAGUUAUUAAAAUUUGACAACAAGUUUUUGGCGUCGUAGCCAUAGUUUCUUUUUUAUUAGCCUUUUAGUUUCGUUUGUUUUUAGUCAUUGUUUUGUUUUAUGUGUAUUGAUUGAACAGUUAACUAUUCAAUUUUGAUUAAGCUAUUGUCCCCAGUGUUCAACAAGCAUUCUAAUUAUCUUCUGUUGAGCAGAUACUAGAGUAUUAUAUGUCAUUGGAAAGCUCUUCGAGUCUAGUUUCCAACUGGAGAAGCAUAUCAUGAAUCCGAUACUCAAGCAAAAAGUUAUUCACAGAAAAGUGGGCAGAGGUCAAAGCUAAGAAGUUCCUAGAAACCUGUUGUUCAAUCACUUGAAUUCAUAAUGGGUGAUCGUGCGUUGGUAAACAAUGAUCCACCAAAGAAGUUGUGCGAGUAUACUGCACCAACAACCUAUGAUGCACCUUUGUGUAUUGUUUUGGCACCUAUUGCGCAGCAAUUUGAGAUAUGCCCUACAACAAUCCAACUUCUACCUAUAUUCUAUAGGAAGGAGAAUGAGAAUCCCUAUAACCAUCUCAAAGGCUUCUUUGCUAUAUGUUCCACAUUCAAUUAUCAAGGAGUCACCAAGGAGCAGAUUCGACUUCGCUUGUUCCCGUUUUCUUUGAAAAAUAAAGCACAAAACUGGCUUAACUCUCUUAUGGAAGGCUCUAUCACCACCUGGGUGGAAUUGUCUAAAAAGUUUCUUAGCAAGUUCUAUCCGGCUCACAAGACGAAUGCAUUAAUCUCUGAGAUCAUGUCCUUAAUUUGCUCAACAUAUAUUGGACUUGUUCCCCUCCAUUUUAUGAGAAAUAAAGACUCGACCUUAAACCCUAAGGCCGAGUCCUGUUGUGCUUUAAAGAUUAUUGUGUUUUUGCACGGGUCUUUGGUUUCAUGUCCUCCCUGUUGUUUUCUCAUUUAUUGUUAAUUAUCACUUUGGUCACGCCUGAUUUUGGCAUGUGUUUUAUAUUUUAUAAUCUUGGCAAAAUCACUUCUUUGACGAACACACACCAUUUCAUUUAUCAAACGUACUGUGCAUUGAAACCAGUGGCCAAUAUUCAAACACUGGCCAUUUUUUUUCCAUGUUACACUAAUCAAUAUUCAAUCACAGACUUCUGUGUUUGAUACUUUUGAGUUAUUUAAAGAUAAAAUUAGAUAAAGAGUGCGGCUAUUGGGACCUCCAAAUUUGCUCAGUAUACCUCUCAUUCUCUCUACACCUCCCUUUUACUUUUCAAUAUAAACAUUUUCUCACUAGACCUCAUUUCAAAUUCCUAACAUAACCUUAGUUAUUUAUUGACAUAUAUUUCAAUUAAUUACCUACUUUAACUCUUAUUCACUCAAUAGACCUCUCAUUCAUUUUUUUUUUACCUUUUUGUUUUUGAACAUCCAUUAUCCCUACGGACCCUACCUUCAUUUUUUGAUUAUUUUUUUCAUGCAAGAAAACGUUUUAUCAUGAACUAUUCUAUAUAUCUUUUUAACUUUUGUUUUUCUCUUCUGUACGUGUUGUUUUUUUUUUUCUGUUUUUUUAUUUUGAAUAGUUUGAUCUAUAUUUUAUACCUCAUAAUAAAUUAUUUUAAUAAAUAUAUAUUUUCUAUAAUCAAUAGAGAUAUAUAUAUAUAUUUUUUUUNNNNNNNNNNNNNNNNNNNNUCACAUAAUCGAUAUUUGAUCAUUGUUUUAGCUCUUAUAAACUAUAUAUAUAUAUAUAUAUUUAUAUAUAUGCUUUAAUAAAAAGAAAUUAGAAAACAAAAAUAUAUAAGGAAAAUAAUAAAUAAUGUAAUCAAUUAUUAUUGAAUUGGAAAGUCUAAAGAGAAUAAAUAUAAUAUUUCCUUUUGUAUAAUUAUUGUCCUUAAUAGUCAUUGUGUAUGAGGAUAUAUAUGUCAUUUAAUAAUUCAUAAUAAAGUGAGGUCUAGUGAGCAAAUUUGGAGGUCCCAAUAGUCGCACUCUUAGAUAAAAACCUAAAAUACUAGACCUCUUUUAAGAUAAAUCCAGACAUAUUUUUCUUUCAUUUUACACUCACUCCACAUAAGCAAACUUACAAUAUAGAGCAAAUGUCUAUAAUUAAUAGUUUUAUUCAUUUUUCGGUUUAUCUGAUUUGUCUUUCAGACGGUAUAAAUCUAAAUUUGGUAUCUUUCUCAAUUUUAGCAUCAAUUUGAAACUCAAUACUGAGCUAAAAUUUAGUUGGAUUUAACUUUGUUAUAAUCAAUUAUAUUCUUUAAUUUCUUACCUUGUUAUUACUAACUUGAGUGUAUAUAUAUGCUAUUAUGUCAUUUGUAAUAGAAUGAUUUUUUUCAUUCAUAAGCUCACAUUUGGUGUCUCUCUACAUAGUUGAAAAAUGUAUAAUUGUAAGGUACACGUUCUUGUUCUUUGAUUAAUUUUCUUCUUUUUAGAUAUAUUAUUAUAUUAUUUCCAAUCCUGAUCGAGAGAACAUUUUACUCUCAACUACUUACAUUUUUAAUGUACCUAUUAAGUAGGACAUGAUAUGAUAAUAUACCUAAAAAGAAGAAACCCAAAAUUGGGUUUAGGGUAUAGGACUAAGGUAUAGGGUUAGGGUAUAGGGUUUAGGGUUUAAAGAUCAAAAUAGCUAAAAUGGUUUUUCAUCAUAGAAAUCCACAUGUCAGAAUUUGAAUGGAAUACACGUCAGAUUUCACAUGUUCAUACGCUAACAAUGUAAAAUUUAUUCAUUUUACUAUAAUAAUCAAAUAUCUUAUUUAUAUUAUAUUUUACCUUAUGUAUAGAUCAGGUAAUGAAUUCCUUUCACCUAAAUUUUUUCAUAAAAAAUAAAGAAAACUGCAUGAUUCUGGUAAAUUGAUUGAAAAAUUUUAGUGUUAGAAGAAAAACUCACAAUGAAGGUAUUUAAGACAACAUCAAUUAAGUUUAUUUAUUAUGUUUAUAUGUUAUAGUUGAAUGGUGGUAAUUGUGUAAAAUUUAGAAAAAAUAGGACAUAAUAUGUAUCAUAAUUGAUACAUUUUAGAUGUCUAUUAAAUAUGAAUAUUAGGUGGGUUUUAUUUAAAAUCACUCUUUAAAAUUGAGUGUAUAUGAAAAUCCCCCUUAUUUAAAUCUACUAUAUAUAGUUGAACCAAUAACAUGAUGAACAUACAAGUCUCAUAAAACAUACAAGAGUUUCAUGAUCUUAUUGCCUUCUACUUUUAGACUUUCUGCUGUGAAAUGGCUGAGACUAGACUACUAGAGUAAAAGAUUUGCUAGCACAAGCUUAUCGGUGGUCAUGGCAAACAGAAAGAAAACAUGCAAAAACAAGAAAGAACUUGACUAAGAGCACAUAUGAAGUUUAACAGCAUGGAGUUUCUGGAUGGAGGGAUCAAGGGAAGUAUGGUACCAGGAGAAGAUAAAGAGGAGCUUUCUUACACACCGUGCAAUGAAGCCUGAAAGAGGGUCAAUCCAUUUCAAAGAAGGGAAGAAAUCUCCGAAACUGAAUGACAUUAGUUCCACCAUGAACCUUCUUGAUGUCUUUCCAUACCAAUCACCAUCUUCUACGAACUUCAUACCCAAAUAGUUUCACAAACGAUACAAUAUCGAUAAGUUUUUGCUAAUAUUUUUGGGCUGAAAACUUAUGAAACGACCGAACUGGUUUGAGUAUCCUAUGAGAUUAUGGCAUCCGAACAAAACGUAGUAGUACACUAGUGUUACUGUGUUAGGCUGUUAGCGAAGGUUCAAGUAGUAGUAGUACUUACGAACGAGAUGGGAAGCACCCAAACAGACACUUUCUUCUACUGGGCUCAUCGAUCUGCCUUGGACUAACCAAUUCCGACGAUCGGUCAUUGAUCUUUCGCUAAAAUGAAAAUGUUCCAUGUCACACGUAUUCUUCUUUCAAUUCAUGACCUUCUGGGCGUCCUUAGCAGUUCCAUUGUGACGAAUACCUUCUGUUUUCUCCAUAUCCCUACCUAUCUCUCCAAGUUUGGGCCUUUCUGUUUUGUUUUGGGCUGUAUCCCUUGAGAUAUAUGCUUUUUUGGGCUAAGCCUUUCUUAAAGUUGAAACUUGAAACUAGGGCACCAACUUCUCCGUCACUAAAUGGAGCUGUCCACUCUGCUCUGGCCUUGUGGAAUAGUCAAUUGUACAGAUCAUGUACGUUCUGCUUUUCCUCCAAGUCUCCAGGUACUGCCUAUGUUCUCUGUUCCAUUCCCAUUGGCCAGGAGUCUCUGUUAGCAGGCAUUGUUAAAAUGGGCAGUAAGUGCACCACUUCGUGCAGUGAAUCGUGAUAAUUAAGUGAUUUUUGGAUCCCUUAGUUUGACUGAGCAAGAUCUUGUUAAAAUGGGCAGUAAGUGCACCACUUCGUGCAGUGAAUCGUGAUAAUUAAGUGAUUUUCGGAUCCCUUAGUUUGACCGAGCAAGAUCUUGUAUAAUCUUUCUGAUCAAAUUUUUUUUUAUCUAUUCCCUUGAAAAGAAAAAAAGAAAAAAGAAAAAGGGGGGGGUAUGUUAAUAAUAUAGAUGUGUAUAUCAAAUAGUGUUUUGGGGGCUUUGAACAGAAUGUUUUGGGAUUUCCACAAUCAUACUGGUUGAAAAAUGACAUAACAUCAAUUAAAAGCCAUUAUUUUCGAAACCAAUCAUGUGGUAACUAAAAUUUAUCAAGGACUCAUGGACUAAUAAUUACUACUUUAAUGACUCAAUUUACCGAUUUAAGGUAAUUUUAUACAUGUUCUACAGGAAAAUUCUAGGGUGAGUUGAUGCAUUGGAUAUAAUAAAACUUUGAAUAUAUUAACGGCUUAGAUUAUUCAAUAUUGAUGACUUGUUUACCAGGUAGCAUGUAAUUUUAUAACUUAUAUAUGAAAAAUAUAAUCAAAAACAAAAACAGAAUUUAAAAAACCCUAGCUUAUUAGAAACAGAAAAAAUGAACAAGUCCGUUCCGUUUCGUUCCUCUACCGAUUUGCACUGAUUUGCUAAGAUAAAACCUAAAGUGAAGGAAAAGAAGAGGAGAUGAAGGAGAAAGAGGUUGGCUUCAUAUUCGUUCUGUGAGAAGAGGAGAGGAAGUAAGAGGAGAGGAAGGAGAAAGAGGUUGAUAAAACCUAAGGUAAUUUGCUCUCUCAAAUUCAUUCGUUCUGUGAUGUAUAUGAGUUUAUCAAAUGCCACAAAUGGCUUCACAUUUGUUUUAUGAAUCAUCAUCAUGUAUAUAUCUGUGGCCUGCAUCAUUGAAUGAGAUUUUUCAUAACAUGGGUGCUCCAGCUCUUCAAGCUGAUUUGGAGAAACUGAUUUAUAUUGAGAUUUGAGAUUAGAAUAAUAGAGAGGAGCCCUAGCCAUGUCGAAGCGAGGGCGCAGAGGUUCCGCUGGGAACAAGUUCCGGAUGUCGUUGGGUCUGCCGGUGGGGGCGACGGUGAACUGCGCGAACAACGCCGGCGCCAAGAAUCUGUACAUCAUCUCAGUGAAGGGAAUCAAGGGGCGGCUGAACCGGCUGUUGUCGGCGACAUGGUGAUGGCCACCGUGAAAAAAAGGGAGCCGGACCUGAGGAAGAAGGUGAUGCCAGCUGUCAUUGUGAGGCAGCGCAAGCCGUGGCGCUGAAAGGAUGGUGUUUUCAUGUACUUUGAAGACAAUGCUGGUGUCAUUGUGAAUCCAAAGGGUGAAAUGAAAGGAUCUACUAUCACAGGGCCUAUUGGAAAGGAAUGCGCUGAUCUGUGGCCAAGAAUUACGAGUGCAGCUAAUGCCAUAGUUUGACUGUCUCAACUCACUUUAGAUUGGUUUUUUUUAGUUGUCCUUUGAACUCUAGAUGAGUAUGCCCAUGUGGUGUUUGAACUUACUAUCCUACAAUCAUGUAGACUCUGAUAGUUAAAGAGUUUUUGUUCUAAAAAAAAUAGGGAGGAACAAUGGCCUUAAACUGUAAGCGUCUUAAGUUGGUAUGCAUUUUGACAGAUGGAGCUUUAAACUUCAAUUGAAAGCUGGAAGUCUAGAACCUUGUAUGAUUGAAACCAGCAAGAAGAAUGCUUGCGAGUGAAAUUAACAUCUUUUUGGGCUUUUCAACCUUGGAUUGACGUCAUACUUGAUUGGGGAGAUGAUGUGAUACUCUGAAAAUGUAGAAAGUAAAUUAUAUAUAUAUAUAUAUAUGAACACACAAAAUUUGAGGAUUUGGUCAAAUUCAUAUCGACACGUUAUAAAUGAGGGUUGGCAAGAAAUAUUUUCGAAAUCGAUGAAUAAUAAGAAUGCUCAAAAUGUUAUUCGAAUUUUCUAUGACAAGAUAAAGUCAGUAUUUAUGAUGGUUUAUGAGAAGUUCUUGUAUUCAUAAGAAUAACUAUUUAUCGGGACUUUCCAAAGCUUAGAGAUUAUGAAAAUUCAUUUAAAUAUCGUGAUAACCCGUAUUUUAGGUAUAAAAUUAAUAGCAAUUUGAGUAACCAUAUGUGGAAUUAGUGUUCAAUUAUGCCACAUAUAACUUUUGUAUCAACUUUAUGAAUAUGAUCGUUGGUGACAUCAUAUGAGUAUAUAUGAGACAAUAAAUAUAUUUUUUGUAAUAAAAUAGAUAUUAUUAAUAUAAAUAACAAAAUAGAAAAGAGAAGAGAGGUCUAGAAAGGUCGGUGUCAAAACUGACAUAAGCCACCGACAUCAGCCCUCUCUCGAGAUAAGAGUGGAAAGGGACUGGAUCAAGGGCGAUCCUUCGGGAAGGAUCGAGCAUCCUCAACCUGAGAGAAGAGGAAGGCUUCUGAGGCUUAUAUAGCUUGAGACCCUUUAACAAGACAGGGAGAAGAGGGACGAGGGGGAUCUGAUUGGGAGGUCCAACAAUUGUAGACUGGUCUUGGCGGUGAGCUCUUAUAUAUGUAUUUGCUAGAGUUUAAUAGGGUAUUUGAAUUCGGUAGGUAGCAGAUAUGAUAAUUGGGUUGGGGUUGUGUGCUUGAUUUUGGCUCAAAAUCGUACAUGGUUGUUUUCUGGAAAUUUGAAAAUGGAUUCACUUUUGAUAUAAUGAUUGUUUGUGUUGGCAUAUCUAGGAAGAAGAAAGGUGUUAAUUUGAUGAAUGGGAAACUAGGGUAUGAUUGCUGAGAAAAUAUGGAUUAUGUUCCAUGAAAAUAUCGAUUAUUUUCGAUUUAUUUGGGGUCAGGCUGUUACAGAUGAGUUGCUUUUCAACUGGGGAGAUGAGUUUUUUCCUUCGAUAGAAUUGGGGAGAUGAGUUGGAGAGAGAGAAGACAUCAGGGAUGGCAAGCCAAAUUGAUUUUCUUAAAAGAAACAAAGAAAAAAAAAAUACAAAGUCAGUCAAAUUUCAUCUUACAAGUUAGACAAAUAUGUAUACCCAUAAAAUAGUAGAUGUGUUGUUAUACAAGUAAAAUGUUAUUAAUAUGAGUAAAUUGUCGUUGAGACCAUUUUGAUGUAAUGAGGAUGUUUAUAUUGUAAAUCAUGUCUUUUAAGAAGUUUUAAGCUAUGUGACGACAUUUUUACAUCGUUUAUCGAUAAUUAAGGUGAAAAUAGUAAUUAAUGUCGAUUUCAUGGUAGUUUUUUGUAUGAGAACCAUUAGAUUCAUAAGUCAACGAAUUGUUUAAAAAGUAGUAAUUAAGCUUUUAUUUGUAGUAAUUUUUUCAAUUACAAGUUCGAGAAUUAUUUUACCAAUCUGACAAUAAAUUGUCAUAAUUGUGGUAAAACUGAUGUACAUACGAUAAAUAAGUUGUUUAUGUAAUAUUGUCUUUUAUCUAGUAAUUAAUACCUUACUUUAUGUAAAUUUUGUUGUGAUUGAUAUAAUUACUUGUAAUACAACGUGUUUUACUAUAAAUUACAACAACCAAGGUAUAGCUGGUAAAUAUAGUCGUAUUCUUGAUAUUACUUAGAAUACAAUCCAUUUUAUGAAAAUAACGAUAAUUUUAUCUCUAGUGAUAACAAAUAUUGUAAAUAUUAAUAAUCAAGCCUAAAUUAUCUAAAGUUGUUAAUCUUGUAAAAUAGUUAUUUUUUAUGUAAUUAUGGUCCUUUUUUAAGUAAAUUACACCAUUCAUGAUAUCUUUAUUACAAAUACCACAUUUAGCGUAUUUAGUGAUAAUUACAGUGGUAAACCAAGUAAUUACAGCAUUUACGACCCUCAUUAUAAGUUUUUGAACAAUUCAUGUAUAACAUAAUUAAAAAGUCCUUAAAAUUGUAAUUUUUUCUACACAUAUCACAAUAUUACUGGAUGACAUGUUUACCUGUACAACAAAUUGUUUAUUUUUAUAUAUUAUUAUAAAAUAGUUGAUGCAUACUACGUAUCAACUCACCCUAACCUUCCCAUAUUCUACAUUAACACGCAUAUGAAAGUUUUGUAUAAAGUUGUUGCAAAGUCAUUGCAUUCCUUGUGCACUCAAAGAUAUUUUAGAACGGAAGAAUUUUCAACAUAUCCUCUUUGACUAUCUCUGUUGUUUAGAGUACUUUUCCUACGGACAUAGUACCAAAAUGAAAUGGAUGAGCACAUGCAUGCACAAGAAAAUGAUCGCAGUUUUUGCAAUUGAGUCGACCUAUUUGCAUGAACGUACUAAACAAUUGAGAAGUUGAUUAGUCCAGGCACUACUAGAAAAAUAUGUACGUAAUGGACACUUUUUGUGGAUACAUUUUUUUAACUACUAGAAAAAUAUGCACGUAGUGGACACUCUGUGGAUACAUUUUUUUAACUGUAUUAUUUGAGUAGAGCAAAUGACAAAAUACUAAAUUUAUGUUUUAUAUCAGUAGUCGCCACUCGAGAAGGUGCAAAUUGAAAAACAAAUGAAUUAACAAAGAAAAAAGGUGCAAAUUGUUGAACUUCGGUGCUUCCAUGGCUUGACUUCUCCGACGGAUGACAACAUGGAUGAGCGUAUGGAGUGAAUAUUGUCAUUUGCUCAGCCCUGGCUAGCUCCACAAUGCUAAGUACAGUAAAACCUCAAUACAGACUGGCAAAAUUUAUUAAUUUAACGAGAUAUUAAUUAAUCUGAUAAAUUAAUAAAUUAUUAAUUUAUUGAUUAUUCAAUAACUUAUUAUUUUAUCAAAAUAUUAUUUAAUUUUUUAAAUAUGACUUUUUUAUAUUUUCAACAAAAAUAAUAUUAUUGUGCAUUGUUCAAUUAAUGUCUAUAUUGUCGAAUUUGUUAUUAUGUUAUAGUGUUUAAUAUGCUACUUUAUUCGAUGUACAACAUUUUCAACAUACAAUGUUAAUUAGUUUGGAAGUACUAUAUAUAUAAUUAGUUUAUUGGAUGAACACUAAAUAAACAAAACCAUAUAAUCACACAUCACAUAAGAAAAACAAAAAUGGUUUCUCAUCUCAAAGGAGUAAAGAAAAUCAACGAUAACGGAUGAAAUGCGUAAAAUAUUGUGCGAGUACAUUAAAGACAAUCCAUGCAUGUAGCACUCAAAAGCAUUUGCAACAGUACGUUUUAGAAAAGUUUGACUUGCAAGUGAGUCUAAUGACGAUAUCAAAUACGAUCAAUGCUGACCUCAAUUUUCAAGAAGAAACAAGUCACAAUUGAGUCUUAGAAAUGAGUCAUUCUUUAUUAAGUCUUAGAAAUGAAUAAUUAAUCAUGUGUAUUAAGGAAUUUUCAACAUAUCUUCUUUGACGAAUAGACACUAUAUUACCAAAAAAAUUGACGGAUACAUGCACUAGGGACAACGUGGAUUGCAAUAUCAAUUGAAACAAUGAGAUGUUUGAGUUUGGAAUUUAAUAUAUAGCAUGGCACAAACUACGACGUAGCCAUAAAUAAUGCAACAAUUAAUCAGACUCAAGUUCAUCAGUCUGAUAUUGACUGAGAAUAUGUAAAUUGAUUUUCUUCGAUCGAUCUCUGUUGUUUAGAGUACUUUUCCUACGGACAUAGUACCAAAAUGAAAUGGAUGAGCACAUGCACAAGAAAAUGAUCGCAGUUUUUGCAAUUGAGUCGACCUAUUUGCAUGAACGUACUAAUCAAUUGAGAAGUUGAUUAGUCCGGGCACUACUAGAAAAAUAUGUAGUGGACUCUUUGUGGAUACACUUUUCUAACUGUAUUAUUUGAGUAGAGCAAAUGACACCCUUUUAUAUUUUUAGUAUUCUUUACUUUAUGGAUACUGAAAACUGUGACUAAAGAGAAAAAAAUGGGGAAGGCUAAGAUGAGUUGAUGCAUGAUAUGCGUCAAUUAUUUUACAAUAAUAUAUAAAAUUGAACAACCUGUUGUACAGGUAAACAUGUCGUCCAGUACUAUUGUGACAUGUGUAAAAAAAUUACAAUUUUAAAAAUCUUUUAAUUAUUUUAUACGUGAAUUGUUCAAAAACGUGUAAUGAGGGUCGUAAAUUUUGUAAUUACUUAGUUUACCACUGUAAUUACCACUAAAUACGUUAAAUGUGGUAUUUGUAGUAAAAAUAUCAUGAAUGGUGUAAUUUACUUAAAAAUGACCAUAAUUACAUAAAAAAUAACUAUUUUACAAGAUUAACAACUUCAGAUAAUGUAGGUAUGAUUAUUAAUAUUUGCAAUAUUUGUUGUCACUAGAGAUAAAAGUUAUUUUUGUAAAAAUGAUCGUAUUCCAAGUGAUAUCAAGAGUACAACUAUAUUUACCAAUUAUACCUUAGUUGUUGUAAUUUAUAGUAAAACACGUUGUAUUAUAAGUAAUUAUCUCGCUCAAUCACAACAAAAUUUACUUAAAGUAAGGUAUUAAUUACUAGAUAAAGGACUUUAUUACACAAACAACUUAUUUACUAUAUGUACAUCAGUUUUACUAUUAUUACGAAAAUUUGUUGUCAAAUUGGUAAAUUAGUUCUCGAACUUGUAAUUGAAAAAAUUACUACAAAUACAAGCUUGAUUACUACUUUUUUAACAAUUAGUCGACUUAUGAAUCAAAGGGUUCUCAUACAAAGAACGACCAUGAAAUCGACAUUAAUUACUACUUUCACCUCAAUUGUUGAUAAACGAUAUAAAAACGUCGUCACAUAACAUAAAACUUCUUAAAGGACAUGAUUUACAAUAUAAACAUCUUCAUUACAUCAUAAUGGUCUCAACAACAAUUUACUCAUAUUAUUAACUUUUUACUUGUAUUACAAUAGAUUGAUUGUUUUAUUGAUAUACAUGUUCUCUAAGCUCGUAACAUGAAACUUUGAAGACUUUGUAUUUGUUUUUUCUUUCUUUUUUCUUAUUUCGUUUUCAUCCCCAACUACGGAUCAAGAAGGCAUUGGAUGAGGUAGGAUUGGUACAAGAAAACACAACAAGGAUGAAAUAUUAUUCAAUGGUAUAGUCUUAAGUUAACCUUAUCUGCUUAGGACUUUGGUUUUCAUAAAAGUAGCCAUCCUAAAUUUAACCUUAUAUUUCACAGUUGUCUUUCAUGAAAUAUUAUGGAGUGCGGCUAUUGGGACCUCCAAAUUUGCUCACUUGACCUCACUCUAUUAUGAAUUAUUAAAUGACAUAUUUAUCCUCUUACACAAUGACUAUUAAAGACACUGAUUAAAUAAAAAGUAAUAUUACAUUUAUUCUCUCUAAACUUUCUAAUUCAAUAAUAAUGCCAUAAUAGAUUGCAUUUUAUUAUUUUCCUUAUUGAUUUGUAUUUUCUAGUUUUACCACAUACUUAUUAAAGUAUUUAUAUAUUUAUAUUAUCAUACAUGUCACAUGCAUAUACAAAAUGAAAUUUUUUUACAAAAAUUAUGAUCUAUCAAUUAUAAAAAAAAAUAAUAAAUAAGUAUAAUAAUAUUUUUACAAAUUAUAAUCUAUCAAUUAUUAAAAUCAUUUAUCAUCAUGGGUAUAAAAACAAAAAAUAUAAACUUACAAAAAAAAAUAGUAUGUGUAAAAUAGAAAUACAAAAAUAACAAAAAUAUAUAAUAGUUCAUGUAAGAACAUUCGUUGGAUGAUCGAUAAAUAAAAUUUGAGACACAAUCCUUGUUUUUUUUUUUAAUAUUUUAAGAGAAUAGUAUUCUACUAUUCUUCAUGAUUCGAAUGAACUUUUAUCGAAAAUUGUUGUCAUUGAAAAUAAUUUCUUACAAUUUGAUCAAAAAAUGAAUGUCUAGUGACAUUUUAUGCAAAAUAAAAAAUAGAAAAAAAAUAAAGAAAUCAACGUCGGGAAUGGAGGUUUGCAUUAAAAAGAAAAAAAAAUUAAAGAAUGGAAGUCGGAAAUGGAUGUUCAAAGGCAAAAAGAAAAAAAAAAGAAUUUGAGGGAUAAGUGAAUAAGAGGUGAUGAGUAACAUAUUAAUAUAUAUGUGAAUUACAUAAAUAAGGCUAUUUUAGGAAUUUGAAAGGAGGUCUAAUGAGAAAAUGCUUGUAUUUAAAAGUAAAAUAGAGGUGUAAAGAGAAUGAGAGGUAUACUGAGCAAAUUUGGAGGUCCCAAUAGCCGCACUCAAUAUUAUGCAAUGGUAUAGUCUUAAGUUUUUCAUGAUUAUAAUGGUAAACCAAGUAAUUACAACAUUUACGACCCUCAUUACACGUUUUUGAACAAUUCACGUAUAAAAUAAUUAAAAGGUUUUUAAAAUUGUAAUUUUUUUACGCAUGUCACAAUAGUACUGGAUGACAUAUUUACUUGUACAACAGGUUGUUCAAUUUUAUAUAUUAUUUUAAAAUAGUUAAUGCAUGGUAUGCAUCAACUCAUCCUAGCCUUCCCCUUAAUUUAUUGAUUAUUCAAUAACUUAUUAGUUUAUCAAAAUAUUAUUUAAUUUUUUAAAUAUGACUUUUUUAUUUUUUCAACAAAAAUAAUAUUGUUGUGCAUUGUUCAAUGUCUAUAUUGUCGAAUUUGUUAUUACGUUAUAUUAUUUAAUAUGCUACUCUAUUCGAUGUACAACAUUUUCAACAUACAAUGUUAGUUCAGAGGUACUAUAUAUAUUAGUUCAUUGGAUGAAUAUUAGAUAAACAAAACCAUAUAAUCACACAUCACAUAAGAAAAACAAAAAUGGUUUCUCAUCUCAAAGAUGAGUAAACAAAAUCGAUGAUAACGGAUGAAAUGCGUAAAGCAUUGUGCGAGUACAUCAAAGAUAAUCCAUGUAGCACUCAAAAGCAUUUGCAACAGUACGUUUUAGAAAAAUUUGACUUGCAAGCGAGUCAAAUGACAAUAUCAAAUACGAUCAAGCGAUCAAGGUGACCUCAAUUUUCAAGAAGAAACAAGUCACAAUUGAGUCAUUCUUUCUUAAGUCUUCAUAAAUGAAUAAUUAGUUAUGCGUAUUAAGAAAUUAUUAAUUUAUAUAUUCAUUGGGUCUAUGUGAAUUCUCGUAUUUGUAUUAUCUUAUAAAUUUAACACAUUGUCCCCAACUUGGAACCUGCAAAAAUUAUUAUUUUAGCGAGGAUAUUAAUUAAUCGAGUAUUAAAUUAUCGAAGUUUUACUGUACGUACGUAAAACUAGUCUCCUCAUACAAUGAUCGGUUUGUUAGCAAGCUGCACGUAUCAGUGUAUCACUAUAAAUAUCAAGGCACCGCGAUAGUUCAACUCACACCGUGAUAGUUCAUCGUAUUACUUAUACACCAAGUAUCGAAGAUAUUUUAAAACAAACAAGUUUAUGACGUAUUAAUUUUCUUUGACGAAUACACUAUAUUGCUAAAAUGAUUAAUUGACAAAUACGUAUACAUUAGGAUAACGUGGAUUGCAAAACUUGAGCAAACAUGAGAUGUUUGAGUUUAGGAUUUCACAUUAUAUUAGGUGUUUAAAUUUAGGAUUAAAUUCAGUUUGCCCCCUCGUGCUUUAGGUCAAUAAUCAGUUUGGUCUCAUAUCUUUUUUUUUUAAUAACGUUGGUCUUUGUACUCUCAAAUGACAUCAUCUAAGUCCAAAAUUUGAAUUUUAGUGUAAAAAUGGGUGAGUUUGGUCCUUGAAAAAUGACUUUUUUCAUUGUUAGAAUGUUUAUUUGCCUUUUUGCCUUAUUUAUAGGUUAAAAAGCUCAAAUGUGGAUCUCCAUGUCAGUUUCAAGUCAGCAAAUAAUAUUAUUUUUGAAGCCAUAUUAAAAUUAUGGACUUAGUUGAUGAUGUUUGAGAGUACAAGGACCAACGUUAUUAAAAAACAAGAUAUGGGACCAAACUGAUUAUUGACCUAAAGCACGAGGGGGCAAACUGAAUUUAAUCCUUAAAUUUAAGCAUGAACAUAAUGAAAAAAAUAAAUGGCUUCAAAAAUGUUUUUGUAUAGUAUAAAGACAAAAUAGUCUUGAGUACUAUUGGAUUUGCAAAUGAUAAGAUUGUAUUUUUACUUAAGAAUGACAUGACAUGAUUUUUUAAAUUGAUGAUGUGUUUAGGUGACAUGUCAUACUACCUAGGAUUAAGGCAAAANNNNNNNNNNNNNNNNNNNNNNNNNNNNNNNNNNNNNNNNNNNNNNNNNNNNNNNNNNNNNNNNNNNNNNNNNNNNNNNNNNNNNNNNNNNNNNNNNNNNNNNNNNNNNNNNNNNNNNNNNNNNNNNNNNNNNNNNNNNNNNNNNNNNNNNNNNNNNNNNNNNNNNNNNNNNNNNNNNNNNNNNNNNNNNNNNNNNNNNNNNNNNNNNNNNNNNNNNNNNNNNNNNNNNNNNNNNNNNNNNNNNNNNNNNNNNNNNNNNNNNNNNNNNNNNNNNNNNNNNNNNNNNNNNNNNNNNNNNNNNNNNNNNNNNNNNNNNNNNNNNNNNNNNNNNNNNNNNNNNNNNNNNNNNNNNNNNNNNNNNNNNNNNNNNNNNNNNNNNNNNNNNNNNNNNNNNNNNNNNNNNNNNNNNNNNNNNNNNNNNNNNNNNNNNNNNNNNNNNNNNNNNNNNNNNNNNNNNNNNNNNNNNNNNNNNNNNNNNNNNNNNNNNNNNNNNNNNNNNNNNNNNNNNNNNNNNNNNNNNNNNNNNNNNNNNNNNNNNNNNNNNNNNNNNNNNNNNNNNNNNNNNNNNNNNNNNNNNNNNNNNNNNNNNNNNNNNNNNNNNNNNNNNNNNNNNNNNNNNNNNNNNNNNNNNNNNNNNNNNNNNNNNNNNNNNNNNNNNNNNNNNNNNNNNNNNNNNNNNNNNNNNNNNNNNNNNNNNNNNNNNNNNNNNNNNNNNNNNNNNNNNNNNNNNNNNNNNNNNNNNNNNNNNNNNNNNNNNNNNNNNNNNNNNNNNNNNNNNNNNNNNNNNNNNNNNNNNNNNNNNNNNNNNNNNNNNNNNNNNNNNNNNNNNNNNNNNNNNNNNNNNNNNNNNNNNNNNNNNNNNNNNNNNNNNNNNNNNNNNNNNNNNNNNNNNNNNNNNNNNNNNNNNNNNNNNNNNNNNNNNNNNNNNNNNNNNNNNNNNNNNNNNNNNNNNNNNNNNNNNNNNNNNNNNNNNNNNNNNNAAUAUAUAUAUAUAUAUAUAUAUAUAUAUAUAUAGCAUGGUAGCCAUAUAUAGAGUGCAACAAUGAGACUAGUUCAUCAGUCUGAUAUUGACUGAGAAUAUUGAUCUUCUUCUCUCUCUUUAGACAUUUCCUAUCGUGACACCAAAAUGAUGAAAUAAUGGAUAAGCGCAUGUGCAAGAAAAUGAUCGGAGUAGUUAUUGGAAUCAAAACCAAUUUGCAUGAAUUCAUGCCUCGCUCUUACAUGAGUGAAGUUGAGUUAAUAGUCCGGGAUUAUCUACGUACGUACGACUUGUCCUCACACAACAGUCGCUUUGUUAUCAGUGUAUCACUAUAAAUAUCGAGGCACCGUGGUAGUUUAACUCACACCAGCAAGCUAACUCUCCCGGCUUUAGUUGUUUAACUAUACCAGAGUCUCAGCUUCCAUUUUUCGAGUGCUUCGAUUCCCCUAGCUAUAAUGGAUCCUCUGUUGGUUUCAGCAUCUCAAUCUCAAACCCAAAAUGGCAGUAGCACUGCAGAUGUUGAACGACGUUCAGCUGAUUUUUCUCCCAGCGUUUGGGGGGAAUAUUUUCUGGCAUAUGCAUAUGUGGUAGGUUAUUUUUGAAGUAAUUUGCAGCAUCAAGCACAUCAUAUGAAUAUCAUAUUUAUCUAAUUACCCCCUUCAAAAUUUUCAUCUACUGUAGGAAACUGCUGAUAUUGAAGCCGACAAACGUGUCGAAGAAGUGAAGGAAGAAGUGAAGAGGGUGCUACUUAGUUCUCCGCCUUCACAGAGAUUAGACUUGAUUGAUUACAUUCAGCGCUUGGGGGUGUCACACCAUUUUGAGGAUGAGAUUCACCAACUUUUGCAGCAAAUUCACAACCAAUACUCAUCUUCUUCUUCAGAUGAUGAUGACCUUCACACUGUUGCUCUACGUUUUCGGCUGCUUAGGCAAGAAGGAUUUAAGGUUUCAUGCGGUGAGAAUCGUUCUUUUUUUUCCAAUUUUUCUAUAUAUUUAACAAUGGAUUAUUUCCUCUUAUUUCUUCUCUUGGUUGAUGAUCAUUAAGCAGACAUGUUCAACAAGUUCAUCGAUGUUGAUGGGAAUCUUAAGGAAUCAUGCGUCGCUGACGUACCAGGACUGCUAAGUUUGUAUGAAACAGCACAUCUAAGGAAACAUGGAGAAGAUUUCCUAGAUCGAGCAGUGUCCUUCACUACCACUCAUCUUGAGUCUGCAGUAGCAGCACCCGGCCGUUUAAGCCCCCCACUUUCAAAUCAAGUAGCUCAUGCCUUGUAUCAACCACUCUGGAAAGGAAACCCGAGGAUAGAAGCUANNNNNNNNNNNNNNNNNNNNNNNNNNNNNNNNNNNNNNNNNNNNNNNNNNNNNNNNNNNNNNNNNNNNNNNNNNNNNNNNNNNNNNNNNNNNNNNNNNNNNNNNNNNNNNNNNNNNNNNNNNNNNNNNNNNNNNNNNNNNNNNNNNNNNNNNNNNNNNNNNNNNNNNNNNNNNNNNNNNNNNNNNNNNNNNNNNNNNNNNNNNNNNNNNNNNNNNNNNNNNNNNNNNNNNNNNNNNNNNNNNNNNNNNNNNNNNNNNNNNNNNNNNNNNNNNNNNNNNNNNNNNNNNNNNNNNNNNNNNNNNNNNNNNNNNNNNNNNNNNNNNNNNNNNNNNNNNNNNNNNNNNNNNNNNNNNNNNNNNNNNNNNNNNNNNNNNNNNNNNNNNNNNNNNNNNNNNNNNNNNNNNNNNNNNNNNNNNNNNNNNNNNNNNNNNNNNNNNNNNNNNNNNNNNNNNNNNNNNNNNNNNNNNNNNNNNNNNNNNNNNNNNNNNNNNNNNNNNNNNNNNNNNNNNNNNNNNNNNNNNNNNNNNNNNNNNNNNNNNNNNNNNNNNNNNNNNNNNNNNNNNNNNNNNNNNNNNNNNNNNNNNNNNNNNNNNNNNNNNNNNNNNNNNNNNNNNNNNNNNNNNNNNNNNNNNNNNNNNNNNNNNNNNNNNNNNNNNNNNNNNNNNNNNNNNNNNNNNNNNNNNNNNNNNNNNNNNNNNNNNNNNNNNNNNNNNNNNNNNNNNNNNNNNNNNNNNNNNNNNNNNNNNNNNNNNNNNNNNNNNNNNNNNNNNNNNNNNNNNNNNNNNNNNNNNNNNNNNNNNNNNNNNNNNNNNNNNNNNNNNNNNNNNNNNNNNNNNNNNNNNNNNNNNNNNNNNNNNNNNNNNNNNNNNNNNNNNNNNNNNNNNNNNNNNNNNNNNNNNNNNNNNNNNNNNNNNNNNNNNNNNNNNNNNNNNNNNNNNNNNNNNNNNNNNNNNNNNNNNNNNNNNNNNNNNNNNNNNNNNNNNNNNNNNNNNNNNNNNNNNNNNNNNNNNNNNNNNNNNNNNNNNNNNNNNNNNNNNNNNNNNNNNNNNNNNNNNNNNNNNNNNNNNNNNNNNNNNNNNNNNNNNNNNNNNNNNNNNNNNNNNNNUUAUUAUUAUAUAUAUAUAUAUAUAUAUAUAUAUAUAUAUAUAAACCUCUUUUAACAUGGAUGCUUAACAUGCAUCUAUGUUGUUUUUGAUUAUCGAUAUCAAUCAGGUGGGAUCUCUCUGCCAUGGAUCCACUGCCUAACUAUAUGAAAAUUUUCUAUGAGGCGAUCUUGAAUGCCUACACUGAAAUUGAAGCCGAUCUUGCCAAGGAGGGAAACUCGUAUCGCAUUGUCUAUUUAAUAGAAGCAGUAAGUCUCAUAAUCUCUCAAGGAGAGCUGACUGAUGAUAAUAUUUAUGGUUCAAUUGCAAACACAUAGAGAAUGAUUAUAUAUGUAUUUUGUUCUUUGAUGAUCAGAUGCAAUGUCAAGUUAGAAUGUACUUGAAGGAAGCCAAAUGGUACCACCUAAAGUGCACACCGAAAACCUAUGAUGAAUACAUGAGGGUGGCACUUAUUACAUCCGGCAUGUUUUUGGUAGAAGCAGCAUUCAUUGUUCCAUUAGCCGGUGAAAUUUCGACAAGAGAUUCCUUGGAAUCGUUGUUCAGAGACCCUGACAAUAUAAUUGUGAGGGCUUCAAACACACUUGGGAGACUCCUGAAUGACAUUCGAAGCCGCAAGGUACAAAUACAUGCAUACAUACAUAUAUAUUUACACACACACUAUAUAGUACUGAAUGAGUAAUAAACCCUGACCAAUUUUGUUAUAUAUGGAAGUUUGUAAUUUGUUGCUGAGUAUUAUACAUAUGUGCAGUAUGAGCAAAAGAGAGGAAAUGAUAUCACAGCUAUAGAAUGCUACAUGAAAGAAUACUGUGUUACAGAAGAAGAAGCGUUCGUCGAACUAAAUAAACAAGUGAAUGAUGCUUGGAAGGAUGUAAACGAAGAAUUGCUCCAGCCUCCCCCAACUGUCCCUAGGCCGAUACUGUUGCUGUGUCUCAAUCUUUUACGAGUAACUGAUGUUAUAUACAAGUAUGACGAUGGUUAUACUAAUGGUGGAGUUGUGCUUAAGGAUUAUAUAACUUCUCUGCUUGUCGAACCUGCUCCAAUGUAGGUUAUAAAUCAACACUCGACAUGUUAUCUUCCAC